AUCCGUGUGGUUUCACGUUUUCUCAUUUUAGUACCAUAUAAUUUUAUUUUUCUGUUUUCGUCAGCACUUUCAUUAACGACUCUUCGUUAAAUUAUAUAUAAAAACAUUCAGAUUACUAUAGAGAGUAGAGUUAUUAUACUAUUGGAAGCAUAGAAGAUCUGGUGCUUCUAACUUUUUGGCCCUUAGAUCGGCCUCCUUUAAUUAUUUCUAAUCUUUGAAUUAAUACUAUUAUCCUGUGGGGGACCACUCAACUCUAAAGGUACCGUUUGGUUCGGGUAUAAGCAAGAGCUAGCUAUUACAGGGAUAGGUACAAGUAUGAGAAUAAGAAAAAUAGUGUUUGGAUGAAAAUUGGGUUGUUUCCGGGGAUAAGAAUAAUUUUAGAUAGUUUUUUAUAGAAAAUAAAGGUGUUGGUGGGAAUAACCGAGAACUACUAUUUUCGGAUAAAAAAUUAGCAUUUGGAUAUAAAGGGAGGGAUAAGGGCUUAUUCCUAUCCCUAUCCCCUAACCAAACGCUGCCAAAGGGAACUGCAAUCAUCCCAACCGUACAAUUCUUGAUCCAAGAGUCAAAAAGUUGGAAGCAUCAAAUUUUCUAUUCUUCCAAUAGUAUAGUAGCUCUACACUAUUUAUAUAUAUAGAGAGAGAGAGAGAGAAAGAUUUGUGUGCUAUUAGGAAUAUGGAGGCCUCUGUGCCCUUAAUUUGUUUUCAAUGAUUAAAGUUCCUAAUCGACGAUCAACUACAUUAAACUUGAUCAAACGUAUUUGAAAAUAUUUAGAAAAUAAAUUUUGUAAUUUUUCGAUAUCAUUUAUCUAGUGAUCGAAUGAGUUCAAAAUCAAUAAUUUUUAAUAGUUGAUGUGUGCCGUUUACAAGUUUAACGGUGUAAAAAUAUUUAAAUCUGAUAAAAUUUUGAUAAAAAAUUCUUUAUACUAUCUACUGCAAAUUUAAUAACUCUGAUCGAAAAUUUUAAUAUUAUAUUAUAACUUUUUGUGAGAUUUUUAUUUUCAACUGUUGAUUUUAAGUCCUUUUGAUCACUAGGUAAAUAAUAUUAAAAAACUAUAAAAUUUAUUUUCUGGACAUUUCAAAUAUGUUAGAUCAAAUUUAACGGAGUCGAUGCUCGAUUCGAAAGUUUUAUUAUCGAAAACAACUUAGAAACACGAAAAUCUUCGUACUUCUAAUAACACACAAGUCCUAUUCUCUCUUUCUAUAUAUAGUUUAGUACACAAUGAGUAAUAUUGAAGUCCCCAUCUAAAUCUAGAUAGCUAAAAGGACCUGGCUGGGUAAUCCUAAACCUGAAAAAAUAAAAUUAAGCCAAGAAAGAUUCUCUUAAACUGAAGAUUUGCCAUUGGAUGGAGAUUGAUGCCUCAAACAAAUAUUGCCUAAAGUGAUGAUGCCAAUGUACUUAGAAGAACUGAGAUAAUGAGAUUCUCUUCAAAGCUCUAAGAUUUGCCACAAUCCUUGUGAUAGAAGUACCUGAAACAAAUAUGGCCUCACAUGUUGAUGCAGAUCUUAUCAUAGGAUUCCAUGAUUAUUACCAAACACAACCCACACAGAUCCAUGCCUCCCAUUCACCCCCCACAUCAUGCUGCUAUGAUGCCCUGUGGUGGUCCUCAAAACAAAACCCACCCCAUAUAACUCCUUGCAGUUAAAUAGCUAAUGACAAAAGAAACAAAGAGGCCCAGAGCCCUGGGCAAAACUUGAUGAGAUGUUCCCACCCAUUCACUCACACAACCCCCCCCCCUCCCCCCUCAAAAUCACAUCCCAUCAUCCCAUGUGAGUGAGAAAAAUAUUACAUGGACUUGGUCCACUAUGUUAUCCGUUUCAAAUUAUGUGAAUGAUUCGUUAUCAGCCAAAAACUUAAAAGCGAAUAGAGUCGCUCACUUUUUAAUGUACUCAAAACGAAGAAUAGUGAAAUAAGAGCAAAAUAAAAUGAAGUAAGAAGCUUGAUAUGACUUAAACCUCAAAUCUUGCUGGUCUGAUACUAUAUGCAAAACUCUAUCUUAUCUCUACUUCAAAUUUACAAUGUUAUCCAAAUUCAAAAUUUACUUAAUUUCUUCGGAGAAGCAUUAGAAAAAGAGAGCAAAAAAAAGAAAAGAAAAAUAAUUCUCUACUCAUGUUUGGACAUAGUAUUAAAACAAAAAGAAAAGCUUUUCAUAUUGAAAUUGUAUUUUCUUUCUUUCUAAUUUUGAAAAAACAAAGUUGCUUGUUAUAUGAGUUUUAUCUUUCUUAUUUUCUCUCCUCAACAUACAUUCAGAUUCUAUAAAAAAUAAUAAAAUUCUUUUCUAAUUUGCUUUUUAUAUUUUUUUCUUGUCUCGGCAGAAACCAAAAUAGAGAUGAGUUGAAAAACAGAUUACACUGACCGUCCCUAGCGCAAGUGGCAAAAGGGCUUAGUGGUUGAUAUCCGAGACCUAAGUUCGAAUCCUAGUUGAUUCACAUUUCCGGCUAAGUUUAUUUUUAAAUGAAAUAAACGAAGCGGAUAGCAUGUUACCGAGUGGUGCACAGCUGACGCGGGGUGAACCGAGUCCACGGAAUAAUUUCUCCAUGUGAAGAGAGGAUGAGCACACAAACAUUACAUUCUCCUUCUUGUGCUUUUAUUACUUCCUAUCAGGGUUCAUCAUUCUCAUUUAUUAGAGCAGUAGUUCUCCUCCGUAACCCUCCCUUCCCCCAAGGUCAAAUCCCCCCUGGGGCCCAAGUCCUCACCUUCGUGUCCACUUUCCAACAACUAGAUUCUCUCUCUCUCUCUCUCUCUCUCUCUCUCUCUCUCUCUUAUUUCCCUCCCUUUUUUUAACACCCCAGCCCGGAAAGAUUCAGAAAUUCUUGCCUGCACAAGGUGCAUUCAUUCUUUCUAGUUACAAUACUGAAAAAUCAUCGUCUUAAGAUUAAAAUUUAAUUCGAUAGAUGUGAUCCACGAUACAGAUAAUCUUUUAGAAUAUAUUACAUGGGCCAUCAAGAGCAUUUGCAUUAUAGUUCUAGGAAUAAGAAGCCAAAAUUUAUGCACCAGGUGCUUGCAAGAGUUUCUCCAGAAAAAGGAAUAGAUACAAGGUGGGAAAACCAUUUUAGUGGGGUAUUUUAAUCAUUCCCCUGUUUUUAUAACUUCCCCCUAGGGUUAAAAUAUUCAUAGCUUUUGCUCAGACCCAGACACAGUGAAGUCCUUUUGAUGAGCUGUGCUCUCAAAAUUUUUAUUUGCUUAAAAACCCCACCCUCUUUUCUCACCCCCAUCUCCCCUCCCUCUCUCUCUCUCUCUCUCUCUCUCACAUGCUCUGCUCCUAACUGGUAGUGGCAUCAUCAUCUCCCCUUCCUGUAAUAUCUGAGCAUUUCCACCCCUCUUCAACUCCUCUCCUUGUCCUACCCUUUCUUUGUUUGUAUANCUUUCCCAUUUCUUCUGAGACAUGCUCUUCCCGGCAGCACUAACAUGAGCAGCUCUCUGCGUGCGUUCUUCUAUUUCCUUCUUCUUCUUCUCGUCCUGCUGCUGCUGCUGCCAUCUCGGCUACUGGGUCUCAACUCCGACGGAGUUCUGCUCCUGUCCUUCAAGUACUCCGUCCUCAGCGACCCGCUGUCGGCGCUCGCCGACUGGGACUACGCCGACGACACCCCCUGCUCCUGGAAUGGCGUCGUCUGCAUGGGCUUCCCGCUGUCCGACAGCAACCGCACCAGCAGCGGCGGCGGCGGCAGCGGCGGCGGGCUGUCGCCGACGGUGUCGCGGGUGAUCAGCCUGGUGCUGCCGAACGCGCAGCUGCUGGGGGCCGUCGCGCCGGAGCUCGGGCAGAUCGAGCACCUGCGCCACCUCGACCUCUCCGGCAACGCCCUGAACGGCUCCCUCCCCGCCGCCUUCUUCAACGCCUCCUCCGAGCUCCGCGUGCUCUCGCUCGCCGACAACGAGAUCUCCGGCCAGCUCCCGGAGGCCGUCGCCCGCCUGCAGCAGCUCCAAAUCCUCAACCUCUCCGACAACGCGCUCGUCGGAGUGCUGCCGGCCAACCUCACCCUCCUCCGCAACCUCACCGUCGCCUCGCUCGCCGGCAACUACUUCUCCGGCGGAAUCCCCGGCGUCGCCCUCGAUGCCCUCCAGGUGCUCGACCUGAGCUCGAACCUCGUUAACGGCACCAUCCCGCCGGAUCUCGGCGGUCGGAGUCUUAGGUACCUGAACCUGUCGUAUAACCGGCUCGCCGGGCCGAUCCCUCCGGAGCUGGGAGCUAAGAUUCCGGCGAAUUCCACUAUUGAUCUCUCGUUCAAUAAUCUCACCGGGCCGAUCCCGGAGACCGGAGGUUUCGUUGUGCAGAGCCCCGCGGCCUUCGCGGGGAAUCCGGAUCUCUGCGGCCGGCCGCUGAAGCAGAUGUGCACAAUUCCUUCCACCCUCUCGAAUCCGCCUCCGAAUGUGACGGAUUCGAAGUCCCCCCCGGCCUUCGCGGCGAUACCGAAGAACACAGAUGGGAAUUCGGGGGGAUCGGGGGAGGGUGGCGGCGGCGGCGGGGGCUCGGGGAGGGGAGGAGGAGGAGGAGGAGGAGGAGGCCUACGUCCCUCGACCAUCAUUGCCAUUGCGGGGGGUGAUUUAGCCGGGGUGGGGAUUCUCUUCGUCGUGUUCUUGUAUGUGUACAAUGUGAAGAGGAAGAGAAGGCGUCAGCUGCAGCAGCAGCAGGAGCAAAAUCCGAAGGAGAUGAGAGGACUUGGGUUGAAGAGUGUGGAUAGAGGCGGAAAAGAGAAAACGGCGAUAUCGUCGUCGUCGCCGGAGCGCUGCAGUCUGUCGUGCUGCUUACGAAACAAGAACGGGGGCGACGACGACAACGAGACCGAAGAGACAUCAGACAGCUCGGAUUCGUCAGAAACAGAAGAGGGAGGAGAAGAAGAGAUACAACGCAGAGGGAGAGAGGCAGUGGACCGCAGCAAGUCGCAGGCUCAGCAGCAGCAGCAGCAGGGCGCGACGCUUGUGACCGUCGACGGAGAGAGCCAACUCGAGCUAGAGACCCUGCUCAAGGCGUCGGCGUACAUACUCGGAGCCACGGGCUCCAGCAUCGUGUACAAGGCUGUGCUUGCCGACGGCACGGCGCUGGCGGUGCGGCGGAUCGGAGAGAGCAGCUGCAUCGACAAGUUCAAGGACUUCGAUGCCCAGGUCCGGGCCAUCGCCAAAUUCCGCCACCCGAACCUCCUCCGGCUCCGCGGGUUCUACUGGGGGGCUGAUGAGAAGUUGCUUAUUCAUGACUAUGCCCCUAAUGGGAGCCUCGCCAACAUCUCUUUCAGCAGUAAAUUACUCUCUCCACCUUUCCCUCUACCUAUAUUUAUGCUUCAUCGAACUACAUAGGAUCCUAGGCAAACCAGAUCUUGAUAUUAUUUAUAUGAUUGGGUCGCGAUCUGAAUGAUUAUUACAGUAGCAUUCAGUUACAAACAAACUUCCUGUUUAGAUGAAUGAGAGUUCAACUAAAUUCCAUUCGGUAUUAUUGUUGUUUGGUGAGUGACGAAAUUUCAUUUUCCGUGUGCUUGUUCUCUCUAGCAAGAAAGCUAUAGCAAAUUUGACUGCUUUGUAUUGUGAGAAGUUCUUCUAGAUCAAUCCAAAUCAAUCAAAAUCUUAUCCGGAAAAAAGUUCCAAACUGCAAGAAUAGUAGGAAAAUGAUUUUUCUGAAACAGGGUAGAAGUGAUUCAUUGUCUCUCUGCUUUCAGGAAAGCUGGGCUCGUCGGCGUUCCACUUGAACUGGGAGGCACGGUUGAGGAUCGCGAGGGGCGUGGCGAGGGGGCUCGCGUACCUCCACGAGAAGAAGUGCGUGCACGGCAACGUGAAACCGAGCAACAUCCUAUUGAGUGCCGAGCUAGAGCCGCUGAUCGGAGACUUCGGGCUGGAGCGGCUGGUCUCCGGUGACGGCGGCCCUGGUAGUGCCAGCUACAAACCAGGCGCAUCUGCGCGGUUAUUCGGAAGCAAACGGUCGAUGCAUUCGACCAACAGUCUGCCAGACCUUUCUCCCUUGGCCGGUGUUAGUCCUUGCGGUUCGUCCUCCGCUGCAGCCGCUCCGCCACCGUACCAGGCCCCCGAGUCGCUGAAAAACCUGAAGCCCAAUGCGAAGUGGGACGUAUACGCCUUCGGGAUGGUACUGUUAGAGCUGAUCGCCGGUCGGGUGUUCUCGGAGGUCGAAUUGUGCCAGUGGAACGCGGGGUUCGUGGUGGAGGAGCGGAACAGGAUACUUAGAAUGGCUGAUCCGGCGAUACGGGGCGAGGCCGAAGGGAAGGAGGAUGCAGUGCUGAGCUGCUUUAAGCUCGGGUUCGCGUGUUGCUGCUCGGCGCCGCAGAAGCGGCCAGGGAUGAAGGAUGCAGUGCAAGUUCUUGAGAGAAUUCCUUCUGCCCCAUCAUCUUCAUAAAUCUUUUACUGACCAAAAAUGGAUGGUAAUAAUGCAUGGUAUCAAAAUCUUUCAUGUAUUGUUUUCUUUUAUUUUAUUUUUUUAUAUUUGCAAUUUCAUGUAGAAUUCUACUAAUUUGAGUGUUGCCAUUAACUCAUUGUAGUAACACACAAUGAUUUGUUGGUGUUUGUGUUGUGAGUUUUAAAGUUUAGUUUCUUUAUUAAAGUGUUCUUUUUGUGCAAGAGUGGGGUUGUUUAACCUAAAAGAGGAGGAGGCUGUACUGGGUCAGCAUCAAUUAGUCAAGUUAAAAAGUUAUGUGUUGAUCUAGUCAAAGGGUCCAAAAAAAAAGAAAAAAAAAAGAAAAAAGAAGAAGUACUGGUACUUGAAUUUGUGUACAUUAUAUAAGUCCAAUUGCAUUUAGAACCAGAUUGAAUAGGUUAAAAACAAAAAACAGUGAUGUUGAAAGAACAUGGAAUUUUAGUAACUACAACUCUACAAGGGAUCUGAUUCCCAAAAUCCCUUUAGCAUCACUCUCUACCCAUUAUGACUCUCAAGUCACUUUAAAAACUCUUUAUUUUCUCAGCAUCACUUUAUUUUGAGAGAUUUGAGAGAUUGGGGUUUCGAUUUUCAUCUCGAAAGGAAUCGAAUUUUGUCAAAAUAAUUCUCACUAUGGUAGUUGGAAUCAUCUUUGAUUUCAGAAAUGAUUGAAAAAAAAAAAACUCAAUUUUUUCAUCUAACAGUUAUUUAAAUUCAAAUAUUAAUCUAUAUUUAAUUUUAGAAUAAAUUAUAAAUUUAUAAAUUUAAUUUGAAUUAUGGAUUUAAAUUUUAUUUUUUAAUGUCUUAAGCUCAAUUUUAAAUUCUAAUAUAAGUUUGAUAUUUGAAUUUAGUUCGAAAUUUACUUUUUGACUUUAACAUAGAUUUGAAUUGCAAAUUUAAAUUUUUAAGUUUUAACUUUAGAUCCAAAUUUUGAUUCCAAAUUGGAUACUAAAUUUAAAAUUUUAAAUUUUAAUAUGAAUAUGGUUCUAAUCUUGAUUCCUGCUAUGAACCAAACGAAUAAAGAGUUGUUAUCAUUCUGUUUUCGAUUCCCAUUUAUUUUCAUUACUGUUUCAAUUUUGAUUCCUAUUUGUUUGGAAUUAGAGUCUAUUUGUUUGGAAUGCAGAUGUUUGUGUAAUCAAUUGAGGGUUCCCUUAAUAACCAAAAAGUUUAGAAAAAAAAAAGGAGUGGAAAAAUGCAGAUGCACUCUUAAGGCUUCGUUUGGAAUUGCGGGAAGAUUGCAUUACGUGCGGUGAGAAAGUACGUUGGAAAAAUACUCUGUUUGUUUUCGUACGUAAUAUUGUGUUCCGCAUAUCGCGAAUUACAAUAUAUUUUCUGCGAUUCCACCGAAAAACGCAGAAGCAUAUUCCUAUAUGCUUUUUCCACAAUCCAUUUUAUCUAAUAGCGUUAGAUAAGACUCAAUACCAAACUAAGCCUAAUUGUAGGGUAAGUAACAUAAGACAGUUUAUAUAACUACUCCACAAAUCAGGUUUUCAUCUAGAAAUGCUCAUUUAAUAUAAUUACAGCCAAACACUAGAUUGUGUCAUCAUCACUCAUUCAUCCUUAUAUAAUUGCCCACAUUAUUAAUCACCACUAUAAAAUCCUGAAUCACUAGUUCCUGAUGUGGGAUGGAUGAGACUUUUCUUAUCUAAAUCAUAUUUCAUAAAACUUUUAUACUAAAAUAUCUCCCCACUCCAUUAGGUCAAAAGAGGGGAACAAAGGAAAAAAAAAAAAAAAGAAGAAAAGAACAACAUUAGCCUAAGGUCUAAAGGGAAUAGAAUAUGUGUCACAUGUGCCACAAAGCAUCUUAUCUUUUUAGGAGAGAUGCAUAGUGUUUACGUUGCUUUUUGUUACAUUAAAAAAAAACCCUCAAUGAAAGUAUGUUCCAUUAAAGCUACUGGGAGUGAAGAAUAGUACAUGUACAGCAAGCUGGAUGGGAAUCUAAGAGGACAUGCUCCAGGUGGAAUAUUUUGGUGCUAAGUCACAAAUUAAAUUAAAUUUAGUGUCCUAAACCAUCAUGAUCAAAUCUCUGUAGGCUAGGAAAGAUCUGUUUGUGUACACCAUUGUCUAGCGCAGUUAUCCUCGCGCGGCAAACAUGUAUGAACAAACAAGGGAGGAUUUAGACCGCCGACUUUUUGGAGAAGUAAAUAUGUGAUCAGUCUGGAAGGAUUCUUCAGUUGGGGUAGAUAGGCUUGCUUAAAAAUAAUAAAAGAAAUAUAUUAUGAGAGCGUUGUUUGCCUACAAUCCCAUGCACAUGAAUUUUUUAUUUUUUGCACACAAGGUUUUUUUUUUUUGCUGCUUUUUGGCAGUGGAAUUGUUCCCGUGUGCAUACAUUUUCCGAGCAUCGGGUCAUAGGAUAGUAAAAACUCUAAUUAAGACUAAUACAAUAGUUUCGCACUGAUAUGAUAUUUUUUUUUCAAAAAAAAAUCUAUUCUUCUACUUUUGUGCGGUGUGUGUAUAUAUAUAUAUAUAUAUAUAUAUAUAUAUAUAUAUAUAUAUAUAUAGGCCAUGGUUACUAUACUAUUAUGAGUAUUGGAGCCCUCGUACUCAUAAGUUGUUUUCAAUGAUGGAGCUUCCGAAUCGACGAUCCACUCCGUUAAAUAUGAUCUAGAGUAUUUGAACAUUCUAGAAAAUAAAUUUCGUAAAUUUUUNUCAUAGGAACAACCCAAUUUUCAUCCAAACGCAAAAUUGGUCUAGUUUCUGCUUAUACCUGAACUUGUACCUAUCCCUAGAACUAGCAGUUCUUACUUAUACCUGAACCAAGCGCAGCCUAAGAGGACAUGCUCCAGGUGGAAUAUUUUGGUGCUAAGUCACAAAUUAAAUUUAAUUUAGUGUCCUAAACCAUCUUGAUCAAAUCUCUGUAGGCUAGCAAAGAUCUGUUUUUGUACAGCAUUGUCUAGCGCAGUUAUCCUCCGCAAACAUGUAUAAACAAGGGAGGAUUUAGACCGCCGACUUUUUGGAGAAGCAAAUAUGUGAUCAGUCUAGAAGGAUUCUUCAGUUGGGGUAGAUAGGCUUACUUAAAAAUAAUAAAAGAAAUAUAUUAUGAGAGCGUUGUUUGCCUACACUCCCAUGCACAUGAAUUUUUUAUUUUUUGCACACAAGGUUUUUUUUUGCUGCUUUUUGGCAGUGGAAUUGUUCCCUUGUGCAUACAUUUUCCGAGCAUCGGAUCAUAGGAUAGUAAAAACUCUAAUUAAGACUAAUACAAUAGUUUCGCACUGAUAUGAUAUGUUUUUUCAAAAAAAAAUCUAUUCUUCUACUUUUGUGCAGUGUGUGUAUAUAUAUAUAUAAUUCAGUUUAGGAUACUAUUUACUUUUUCAUACUUGGGUCAUUACGAUUGCAUUGACCACCUACUCAAUUAUAGGAGAGUGGCGCUACUAUACUAUCUAUAAUAUUGAACGCUUGAUGCUAUUGAAUUUUUUGCUAUUCGAUGUACCCGUUUGAUCAUUUUCAUCCUUUAAAUUAUAUUAUUUAAUCAACCAUAUACUCAACUUUAAGAUUAUCCUAACCGCACAUCACUUCAUCAAAAGGCUGAAAUCUGAUAGUACCAAAUGCUCGGUACUAUUAAUAGUAUAAUAACUUAAUUAUAUAUAUAUAGGCUAGGGCUACUAUACUUUUAUGAGUAUAGCCCCCUUUGUACUCAUAAGUUUUUAACCAUUGGAUGAAUAGAUGUGCGGUUAGGAUGAUAGUGGUCUCCGAUUAGGUUAAUAAUGGUCCUCUAGGAUUGAGUGGGUGGUUGGUUGAAUAGUAUGACCUAACGGAUAGAAAUGAUCAAAGAAGUAGAUCUAACGGCCAAAAAUUUAUGAGUACAAAAGGGACUAUACUCCAUAAAAGCUUAUAGUAGGUCGGACUAUAUAUACUAUAUAUAUAUAUAUAUAUAUAUAUAUAUAUUAUAUAUAUAUUAUAUAUAUAUAUCUACUAUAUAUAAAAGCAAACUUUAUAUUCAAAUUUGGGUCUCGUCGACAACCCAUUUUUCGGCGAAAAAAUUAGCGCCCACCUUUUCUCUUUCCGUACCGAAAAAUUUUAAUUAAGAAUAAAAAUAAAAAUAGAACAACAAUGAAUACGUAAGUAUCUAAAUAGAUACUCUAAUGUGGAAAAUCCAUAAAAUAUAAAUUUUUCUAUUUAAUUUCAAAAAGUAAGUUUCUAUAAAAAUUACGGGCUGUGAAAAUCCUAUAAAAGAUUAUUUUCAUUUUUUUAAAAUAUCUUUCUUAGAUAUUAUCAUAUUAAUUUUAAAAUAAUUUUUUUUAGAUAACGGAUUUUAUUUUUCUAUUUAUAUCAAAAAUUUAUUUCCUAACAUAUUUAUUUUUCUAUUUAAUUUCAAAAGUAUUUUGCAUUUAGAGAUUAUGCUUAAUUAUUUACUCAUUUAAAGAUAAUUCUUCUUUAAUUAGCGUGAUUUAAUUAUUAAAUUUUUGAUAACAUAUUUGGCAAUCAUAUAAAAUGGCCUAAAUUAAAAAUAAUUUAACAAAAUUAUAACUUUUUCUAAUAAUUAUUUAUGUGCAUCUUGGCACGUACAUUUUACUAGUUAUAAUAUAUAUAUAAUAUAAUAUAAUAUAUAUAUAUUAUAUAUAUAAAUAUUAUAUAUAUAAUUAGUAGUAAUACUAUCACAUAAGUACCAAGCAUUUGUGCCUAUUGAUUUUUAGCCUUAGAUUGAGAAAUGACCGUUAGGAUGAUGUGGCCCCCUAGUUGAGUGAAGUGAUCUGUAAUAGUAUAAUUUCAACGCGUAAACUAAUUAAAAGGAUUAAAUUUAAUUGCUGUGAAAAACUAUUAGCGCCAAAUCGUCCUGGCGUAUCGUUGUAUCCAGCCGACUCUCUCUCUCAUAUAUAUAUAUAUAUAUAUAUAUAUAUAUAUAUAUAUAUAUAUAUAUAUACAUAUAACAAAAAAUUAAGAUUGCAAAGAAAAGUUUCUCCAAGGCUGGGGGAGCCGUGGCGCUCUUUGCGAAAUCCGAGGUGGAGGAAUUUUUGUUCGUCCGUUGCUGCAAGGGAAGGCCAAGCUUGGUACAACGAAAGUACUACAAGUGAGCAAAUUCAUAAUUUGUACCCUCUACUUGGGAAUAGGAGAUUCUAGUUCGAAUCUUAAUUCGUGCGGAAAUAAAUGUUUGUAUUAGGGCCUGCAGGUAUCUGAGAUCUCGUUUUCGUGCAGGAAUAAAUGUUCGUAUUAGGCCCUAUCGACAUCUUUACUAGAGGAACAAAACGAGAAGAGAACAAAAAAAUAAAAAAUGCAUAAGCUUUAGAAAGAAAGAAAAAAAAAAAUGUUAAAUGACAAAACUCAAUGGAGUGCAAUGUGCGAACUACGACCUCGUGCCUACACUAUACUGUCAUGUAUGUACAUAUUAAUGCUUACACAAAUUUAUCUCAGUCGAAUAUGUUUGAAAAGAUAAGAUAUUUAAAAAGCUAAGUCCAGUAGUUUGAUUAAUCAAUGAGAAUCCCCUACCGUAGGUUAGGUAGUCAUUCCUAGGAAUGUAAAUGGAUACGGGUACCCGAAUUUUAUCUGAAUCCAAAUCCGAACGGAGCGAAUUUUAUCCGAUAUAAAUGGAUAUGGAUUCGAGUAUAGAUAUAUAUAACAAAAUCUGACAGAUUCGGAUUCGGGUAUGGAUAUUUUAAAAAAAUCCGAACCCAAACCCAAACCCGAACUCAAAUAAUCCAAUCCGAACCCGAACAAAUUUAAUAUAAUAUAAUAUAUAAAAAAAAUUCAAACCAUUAGAUCUGAAUCUAAAGGUCAAAAAAAAUUUUAUACUUUUAUAACAUAAACCAAAAUACAUAUAUUUUUAUAACUCAAACCCUAAUAUUCAAACUUCAAAGCCUUCCCAUUUCCAAAGCCGUCUCCAAAUCCCAAGAGUUAAAAUUUCAAAAGAGAACUAAAGAAGUGAUUGCAGAUUUGUGUAAUCUCUUAUUAAUUCUUCUCCAAGAGGCCAAGAAGGUAUUUUGGUUUGUUGCUUUGUCCAAGAAUCACAACCUUAGACUUAAGAGGAAAAAAGGUAAGGAUUGUUUUAAAAAAAAUUGAGAAUUAAAGUUCCUUCUUUGAUGUGGGUUUUUUGAUUCUUCAUAUAUGUCUUCUUUUUCUUAUUUUUUAAGUUUAAUUUUUUAGUUCGUGUGGGUUGUUAGGCAAUGAAAUUAUCUUUUUUUAAAAAAAAUUUUAAAAAAAAUUUGUUUUAUUUUUCUCUUAAUUAGCAUUUUUAACUUUAGUCUUUUAGUCUUAUGGAUUUUUAAGCAAUGAAACUAUAUUUUCGUUUUUAAUUUUUUAAAAUUUUUUAUUUUGUUUUUCUAUUAAUUAAUAAUCUUUUAGUUUUUUUGGGUUGUUGGGCUAAGAAUGUAGUGUUUCUGAGCUUUGGAUAGGAUUGGCUUCACUGUUAGUGACUGGUCGACACAGCUGGAGAGUGUUGGACUGAGUCGGAGUCGUUUCUGCGCGAAAUGGAUGCAGAAAGGGACUCGGCGUACUCAAAUAAGCAAAACUGGAGUUUUGCCAGAUUCGGACGCCCAGAAUAGGGUUUGGGUCGCCCAGAAAUUGAGUGCAGAAUUGAACUGAACUGGAAGUCAAUUCGGGUCCAUAUUUCGGGCGCCUGGAUGUGGGUCCGGAAAUCUACUUUGGAAGUAUCGUUUGCGCUGACACGUGGCUGGUGGUAGGUGAAGUCCGCCGGAGCCGGAUACGGGCGCAACACACCACGAGAGAUGGAACCAAAGGGGAGCAAAUGUACAGACUGGAGGUUUCGGACGUCUAGAAAUGGGUUUUGGGCGUCCAAAAGUGGCCAUUUCUGCAGGUGUAACAGAAUUGCAGCCUUUAUUCCUGAGGUUCAUCUGACCCUAUCUUCACCCUAUAAAUAGCUGAGGAGAGUCCCUGGUGAGCUUUUUUCCUCUCUUCUUCACAGUGAUCCUCUACUUUGCAUUCUAACCCCUCCAAAUCACUCAAAUUACAUCAAAGGUCCACAAAUUCAGCUUGAGGAGUGCUAACUCUGUAGUUUUCCAGCGACGACCUUCGGUGCUUUGGCUCGUGUGUGACAUAGGAAGGUCGGAUUGCCGUGAAACUUGGUUUGCUGGAUUCUAGACUUCCAGAGGAAUCCACGAAGCCUAGAAUUGCAGAUUUUGAUUGAGGUUAGCUUAGUCGAACUCAAGUUCUUCUCUGUUGCUAUUGUUUUGGACAGAUUUUUAGGUUUGUGAGUUUUCUUUGAUGCUAUAUUUGGAGGCAGGAGGAUUUGGGACCUGAGUUUGAUACUCCAUCAUUAUUCACUGGAUUUGGAACUUGCCUCACCUAAAUUGGAGAUUAUUAGGUAAGUUUUGACAUUGGAGUUGAGACAAAUUACGCUUAAGUGCUAAAAUUUGGUGAAUUGAUGGAUUUCGAUGAAUUUUUGGGUAUAGAUCCUUCGAGUAGCUUUGUUGCUGGGUGUGGGUGAUCUCGGCUGAGGCUUCCAGCAAUUUGUGACCUUCUUGCUUCCAGGGAAUCGCUCUAGAGGUGGGUGUUUCAUCGGUUUUGCUCCUAAGUGCUUGUAGUCGACAUGUAUGAUUUCGGUUCUCGUAUAUCAUGUUGUAGCUCAAAUUCAUUAAUUGUAGCAUGUAUAAAAUCUAAAUUGGGAGCAUGAUUAUUAAUUAGAUGAAUAUACAUGUUGGACUUGGAACUUGACUUAGGAGAAAACCAGCGAUUCGACCUGUCAUAUGAUUCUACUACCUGAUUUAGCUCUAGGAGCCGUGUUUUGAUUGCAUCACCGCUGUUUCAGCGCGGUGGAUAUCCGGGAUAGUUUAGAAUGCAUUUACACUCGUGCUGGAAAGCCGAGCUUAUUUUUACAGUAGAGUCUAGGCUGUUUCGGGUUGUCGGGUGCCGUCGGGAUGGACGGUGGACCCAGAUUCCUGUUUUUGAUCUCAGAUUGUGCCGAGGGCACGUGGGUUUGGUUUCUAGACCUCUUUUGACCCUAGCUACUUGACUUUGACUUGUUAGAGCCUGAUUGAGCUCGAGAGAGAUACGCUGCAUACUCGGUUGGGUAGCUCCCACGAGUGCCACUCCGGAGACGGGCGCUAUACUUUCGCGUUGGUGUCGUUCGUGCAUGUUGGACUUGCUCUCCACGGACUGGUUAGUGUGGAGGUAGCAGUAUAGUCGCGACCGGGCGGAACGAGUGUGUUCACAGUCCCAGGGACGGGUAUGAUUACAGUCCUCAUUUAAGAUUGGGUCUGAGUUGAUACUGUUCUACAGAUGAUUAGAUUUAGAGCAUGAUAGUAGUGUGGCAUAUAGCUGUAGAUUUGUUCCAGCUUUCUUUACUAUUCCUGCUUAUCCCUGUAGACUUAGUGGGUGGACCGAUGAGUUUGAGGGCGGUACCCACUAAGGACUAUUUGUUUUUACAGUAGUUCUCAUGCCUUGUUGUUAUCACUGUUUUUGCAGAGCCGUCGCCUUCGGAUGCUGCUGUUGCUGAUCUUGAUCGUGGCAAGGGCGUCGCGAGUUAGAGCCCUUCCAGUCGAGUCGCAGAGCUAGAUGAGCACCAGCUACAGGUAGUUAUAGUUUUUGGGUCUUUACAUACAGUUAUUAUAUCUCGCCAGAGCGAGUGUUUGUAUACCUGGAUGACAUGUAUGUAUUGAACCACAGUUUAUAUAUUUGGUUUAUUUUCCUAGCUGCUGUAUACUACUGUUUGUAGUAUUGUAUGAUUAUAGGUACUUCUACUUUUUCGCUUCGAAUACAGAGAAAAUACCUAUGUAUAUAGUGGGUCUGUUAGCGAGCCCGGAGAAACGAGUAAUCCGGGGCGUGACAAAGAAACUAUCUUUUCUUUUUUUAACUUUUUAAAAAAGUUUUGUUGUAUUUUUUUUUAAUUAGUAUUUUUAAUUUUAGUCUUUUAGUUUUUAUGGAUUGAUUCUUUAGAUCUACAUGCCUUUUUUAACUUUUAUUUUUUUCUUAUGGGUUGUUCGGUAAUGGAGCUCAUAUUUCUUACAAUUUUUUUUUGUAUAAUAUGUUUCAAAAUUUGUUAAAUAUUAUUUUCGGCUUCGGAUUUUUAGGUUAAAAAUUGGGUUUCGGGUUUUUGGUCAGAUUUGGGUUUGUUCCGGAUUCGAGUUCGGGUUUUCCUGUUCGGGUUCGGAUUUUGGGUUUCUGGUUGGAUUCGGGUUUGGAUAUGGAUUUUUAAAAUCCGUCGGGUUCGGGUUCGAGUUCGAAUUUCGAAUUUGGUAGUCGGGUUCGGGUUCGGGUUCAGAUUUUUGAAAACCCGCCCCGAAUCCGACCCCUUGACAUCCCUAGUCAUUCCUAAUGUUUCCUCAAGGCAUAUAGAGAGUAAAAAAUUUUUUUGAAGAAAAUUUUUUUUUUGAGAGAUAGGUAGCAUGCUACCCGUUUCGUUUAUUUCAUUUAGAAAAAAAACUUAACUGAAAUAUAUAAAAAAAGGUCUUUUCAUAAAAAAUUUAUUGGGAUAAUUUCAUACAACUCCUUAUAAACAUAUCGAAUAGCAAAUAUAUCACUACAAAAUUCAAGUUUUCAGAUUUAUCUCUUCAAAAGUCUGAUGAUAUUCAUAUUUGUCCCUCUGAUUUGUUUCCAUUAACUCAUUGUUUAUUUUUUAAUAGAAGAUAGGUAAAAUGUGUCAUCACAAAUAUGUUCUUCCAAAAGCCCUAACUAUUAGAAUUGUGCAAAAAUGAUGUCCUCCCAAAGCUUCCCACUGGUCAUCAUCUUUCUAUAUAAAAAUUAACCCAAUCCACUAUUAUGCAAUCUCUUCUGUACCUCUUCUCUCACAACUUUUUUCCUUUACCUAUCUACUGCUGAUUCCCCGACGCUUGACAUGGGCAAAGUAACAUGCGUCAUUGAUGGAUGGGAAUGAAGAAACCCUAGUUACUGGUUCGAAACUAGCAUGAAGAAGAGAGAGGAAGAGGAAUAGGAAGAGGAAAAAGAGUUCUCAUUGCUAGGGUUUUGAUAGAACUAGAAUUUUCAUAUGAAAGAAGAAGGUAUAAUAUCAGAGGAGUAAGAAGGAUAAUUUACCUCACUCACUAAUCAAGGUUAAGUAUUUUACUUAUAAUUAAUUAUAUUUUUUUUAACGAACACUAAUAAUAGCGGUAUAUUUGAAACCAUUAGGAUUUUUUGCUGCUAUACGAUAUGUUAAUAGGGAACUAUAUGAAAUUAUCCCAAAUUUAUUAGUCUUGGGUUUUUGCAGAAUAGGCCGCAUUUUUUUAUUUUGUACAUUCAAAUCAAAUUUUUAAGAAACUGACCAAAUGUUAGAAAAUUGAGUGCGAUAAAUACAGCGGAAAAAGAAAAUCAAACUUAUUUGAUUUUAAAAACUCGAGAUCCGAUCUCAAAAUACCACGCAAACAUGAUCCUUCAUAUUGUUUAAGAUUAAAGGAGAAAAAGGAAGAUAUAAUCUUCACCUUUGCUCGGAUAGAUUUUCACCGCAAUCUGAUGAUCAUGGAAUUGGUUCUCUUGAAGCCGCACAAGCGUUCAGCCUCUAUAGGUAUCUAACGAGAUCGUCGAUGUGAUCGAUGUCCUCACCGGGAUGUUAGUUCCCUUGCAGAGGACGUCUUUGCUAGAAGAUCGAAGAGAAGAAGAGAGAGAUGAUGGCUAGGGUUUUCUAAAAUCUUCCGUAUCUUAUAAAGAGGGAUAUAAUCCCUUUUAUAAUAAUAUAAUUAACAUUAAGCAUAAGAAUAAAUCUAGGUUUAUUUUCAUCAUUUUCUUAAUUGGUUCAAUCGAUUAAAUCUUAAUUUAAAUCGACUUGAACUCAAUCCUAAUUUGAUCAAAUCAAAUUAAUAAUACAAUAUUUGCACAUAAGUCCUCUCACAACUUACUAACUAUUAGUAAGUCCUCUCUUGCAAUAUUUGCACUUUAAUACCACUAAUUUGUAAUAAUUACAGAUUAGUCCAAUUAUUAACAUAUUGACAAUUAGAUCCUCCGGUGAUUCAAAAAUCGCGAUUUAGUUAUUUGAUCGGUCACAACCUCUUAUGUGUGUAACCCCAUAGAUUCUAUUCUAUCUGAUAGUGAGAUAUAUUCUUAUCAAUAUCAACAAUAUCACUGAAACUCCUUUCGGUGGGUUGAAAUAAUUCCAACUCUGGCAAAUGAGAAUUAUUGAUCAUCUAGAUAAUUCUGAUGAGUCUCACAAUCCACAAUGAUGCCGGCAGCAUGUAGUGGCAUUCCAGUAGAAUGGAAUAUUGAACUUCUUGGUGCAGUUAUCGUGUGAUACAGUCCUUCUAUCAUGAGUCCCGACUAGACAGAGGUCAUAGAAUAGCUCGUCAAACCCCAUCGUCUGUCAUAUGUUAAAUUUAUUCGACUCGAGUUUCUAAUAUCGGAAACCUUUUUUCGCUAUUAACUCCGCCCUAACCAAGAUCUUUUAAACUCGGUCUCAUAAAUCAUAGAACUAACGCCUAUAUUUAUAAAGAGAAAUUGAUUCCAUAUACGUGCACACCAUAUUCCUAUAAUGAACCUAAUACAGCCAACAUAUACUACAAGGACCCGAAUGGCUAGGGAUAUGACCAACUGUAUGUAUAGUCAAACUACAGUAACCUCAUUGUGAAUAGCUGAGGCACCGCAGGUCAAAGGACUAAUCACACUAUUGCAACAUUGAGCAAGUCACUGACGAGUGAGUAGACAUCCAAGUGACUUCCCGCGUUGGUCAUGCUCGGUACCCUUGUUCUCUGACAACCACCUGCACAUUCGCUCUAGUGUUCCCACACUGUUGACUCGAGACUCGUCUAUCCAAAACGGGAAGUGAUCUAUGUACUAAUCUCACAGGAUCAAUCACUGUCUCCGUAAUGAUUCAACGAUCGGGAGCAUUUAGGAAUUAAUCACCAAUGACACAUGUCUCAAAUUCUCAACUCUUGAGAAUAUAUGUCAUCAUCUUAUUAAUUUCUUAGAUGAUUCAUAGACACAUACACAACAUGAAUAAAAAUAAUAACCCAAAUUCAUUCAUAAUAAUUUUAAAUCAAAUAUAAAUUUAUGUUCUAAAAAGAAUACAUGUGUCGGCUUGGUUGGCUUCUAGGGCAUACAUCUAAUACUAAAUACUCUUAUUCUCUCACUCCUAUUCUCUCUUUUCUUCUUUUCUUUCUUUUCCCGCUUCCCCCUUCUCCUCCUCCGUCGCCCGCAAGUCGCUAUCACAUUCUUCAUCCUACCUCACACACAUCUCCAUUAUGGCGGCAGCGUGAGCUCGAACGGGGCACGAAUCACGGUGAUAAGGGCAUGGCUAGCGACACAAUUCGAGCCAACAGGCACAGUUUGAUUAAUGUUAUACUAGUUUAUUAGUGCAAUAGAAUAUAAAAAUAGUGCAGCAUAUAGUCAAAUAAUUUUUUUGCACUAUUUGACUAUAUGUUUCACUAUUUAAUAGUAUAUUAUACUAUUUUAUAGUUUUUUAUAUUUAUCAAAUACUAUAAUAUAUAGCCAAAUAGUGCAGCAUUUUUAUUUCCCUUAAUAAAAAAGGGAUAAAGAACGAAGAAGAAAGAGAAGAAGGACAUCAAUAUCCCUUUCAUCUCCUUCCUUCUCCUCUAUCCCCGCAUGUCAUUGUUGUCGCAAUCUCGUCCUCCUCGACCUCCACCUCGCCAUUCGUGAGAGGGAACCCCCUCUAAGAUCAUUACCCUUGCGUCAACAACCUAGAUCCGCGAUGACAAUGGUGUUAGAAGAUAAAAAGGGAGAAGAAGGGGGAGAAAGGCGGUGAAGGAGGAGAAGAGAGAGGAAGGGGGCGACGACGACGAUAACGACAUCAAAAGAGAUGAAAGGGAUGAGAGAACGAAAGGAAAGAGGAAUGAAUAAAGGCCUUUUAAUCACAUUUCUAAAAUUAGGAUCGAAUAUACAAAAUUUAAAAAAUUGGCCUGAUUUUGCAAAAACGCAAAACAAAAAUUUUUUAUGCAAAUUGGAAAAAAGAGAGAGAGGGAGAGAAAAAUAAUCAAUGAGAAACAUAGAGAAAAAUUAAUUAGAAUUUUUGGGCUAAACUAUUAUGAAUUUGAUUCAGAUGGUCUUAUCUGAUUCACACCGGGUUUUGUUGCAUCUAAUUGUUACUGAAAGAUCAAUCUACUAAAAAAAUAGGCCCAAAUAUAUAUCUAUACUAUAUAUAAAAUCACGUAUUUCAAAUUUCGGUCUAUCGACAAACCCAUUUCAAAAUUCCUAUUUUUUCAUAUGUAAAGUAAAUAAUGUAACGAAACAAAAUUUUAGUUCCUCUCUUUUCUCCAACUAUUAAUAUUUUAUUUUUUAUUAAAUAUUUUUGUUAUUCAAUAUGUUUUUGUAAGAUAAAUAUUUAUAUAUUAUCUCUAUUCUAUUUACUAAUAUUUUAUUAUUAUAUUAACUUUUAAAUUUUGAUUCAUUUGGUUUAAAAUAUUUAUUUAAAUUUGGAUUUUUUUGAAUUAAAAAAUAUAAAAAAUAUAUUCAAUGUAAUACUGCAUGACACCGAUUGUCAAUAUUCAAUAUUCAAUGUAUUACCAAUUGAAGAUCGGUCGAGAUGGAGUCGAAGCGAGGAUUGGAAUAAAGGGAAAAGAGAAAAAUAUCUUUUUUGUUGAGGAAUCUUCGACUCAAGAUGAGCCAAACACUUCUAGUGGUAUAGAAGAUUCGGCUGAUAAGGCCAAAAUAUAUGCUGCAAAAAUGAUUAAAAAUCGACAACCCUAUAAAUGUGCGUUCCUUAAGCUAGCAUGAAAAGUGCGCGUCUCUGUAUGUACUUAUUCUUUUGACGUCGCAAAGACCGAUUUAAUUUUUGAUCGGUUGUUAAAAGGCGACAGAAUUAAGCUCCAGGAGAGUCAAACAUUACCUUCUGAAGAGAAAUUAAAUAGGAGAAAGUAUUAUAAGUUGCACCAUUCGUGGAGCCACAAGACAAACGAAUAUACAACCUUUAAAAAGCAAAUUCAAAAAGAGAUGAACGAGGGUCGGCUUAUUUUUGCUUAUCAAGAAAACGAAAAUAGUAUGAAAAUUGACCAAAAUCUAUUUUCUUCUCAUGUCAACAUGGUGGAUGUUAAAGGGAAGACAUCUGCGGAAGAAAAGUUUGAGCAGGACAUAGUUUACACCAAAAUGGCUCUUCGACUGUGCAUACGAUACAAAGCCGAAAUGACAUGCUGUGACUCGGAGGCGAUAAUUCAAGAGAAGAAACUGUAUAGGGAAUGGAAGGAGUUCAUGGCAUUCUUCGAAGAAUGGGAAGAUCUAUCCGAGGCAGAAAGUGAUCUGGACAAUUAUUCGAGAGAAGAUUCAAACAACUCCGAAGAAGAAGUGGAGUCUAAGAAAGAUCAGAAAGACCUCGUGAUACAAAAGGUCCUGGACGAUUAUUAUCAUCGUCAAACUGAAAGGAAUGAGCCGAAGAAGUUACCCUGAGAUGUCCUUCGGCAUACAACAGAGAUAUCUGGGAUAUCGGCCUAACUAGCAUUAUCAGGCCAAGCUGAGACCCGAGCUCGAAGGGAUGACUGAGGGUGAUAUUGAAUUCCUCGGUCGAAAACUAGUUUACGAACUCGACAUCCAACCCUGGCUGAGACCAUGGGAGGGAAAAGAAAUCUUGAGAGAGUACCUCAGGAUUGUCAAAGUGCCAGCUAAUGUGUCAGUGGAUCAAUGGCACACGGCAAAAGCACCGGCUAGAUAGUAUGGGCCAAUGUUGACAAAAACUCAAAAUGGUCGACAACAAAGGUUACAAGCUGAGGCCCGACAUCACUGGGAGGAAGCUAAAGGAAUGAGGCUGAAUGUUUAAAGAUGGCCCAAGGUACAGCUAUCCUUUCGACUUAUGAAGAACGAUCACGAAAUGGGUGGUUCAACACCUGUACCUUGGUUGAAGCCCAAGAUCGAGCAGUUGGCUCUCGCUGAGCCGACAAAGAAGGUGACGCGAAAAGCAUAGGAAGAAAAGAUCGCCUCUUUGGAUACGAUCAUCAAGCGAGACAGAUGGCCUCCCAAGGAGAGGGAGGUUCAGCCAGAAAGUGACUCUUCAGUCGAAGUAGCCAAAGAAUUAGAGGAGAAGAAACAAAAAGUUCAGGAAAGAUCGGCUGAAGAAAGCUUGGGUGAUGUGAGUAUGGUGUAUGCUCUACUAUUCUCAUUCAGAGCAAAAUAUAUAGAGUUUGAGCAGCAGAUCUAUACAAGAGAGGAGCUAUCAGCAGCUCAACUCCAGCUUGAAUAUGCGAAAGCGGCUGAUGCAGCAAUUUUCGAGAAGCCAUCAGCCCUACAGACAAGGUUUGUUAGGCCUUUAUUUAUAAAGGUUUUAAUAGAUGGACAGCCUGUGGGACAAGUUUAGAUUGAUAGUGGGGCAAUGGUCAACGUCAUGCCUACAUCAUUUUUCAAGAAACUAGGCAAAGCGAAGAUAAACUCAAGCCCACCGAUACGACCAUGAUUGAUUUCACUGGGAACGGUCAACAAGCAGCGUACUCAAGACUGAGCUCACGGUCGGAUCUAAAACCCUUCAGACAGCUUUCUUUGCGGUGGAUGUAGAUAGCCACUACAAUUUACUACUCGGGCAUGAUUGGAUUCACGCAAACGAGUGCGUACCAUCCACCCUGCAUGGAAAGCUUUUCCAGUGGACAGGAGAUCGCGUGGAAAAAAUUAGGGCCGAGGGACGGUCGCAAAUAGUGGACAUUAACGUGGAAGACGUCGGUCAUAUCAACUGGGUCGACACCGACCCGGAUCAAAUCUCGUUUGUGCGGGUCACUAAAGAGGAGGUACAGCUAGUGCUUCUAAAGGAUACAGAGGCAUUGGUGGCCCUGGAAGAGCCACCAGACUGGUUAAAAUGAAACAUCAAAAGCUGGGAACAGAGGCUCUAGACGAGCUUCGGCAAGACAAGCGGACCAAAGAAGUCGGUUGCUUCAUCGAAUCGACCGAGUUGGCCGAUAAAAAAUCAUGUAUUAGAUCAGCCAAACUAGUUGAUGAAGAUUUGUGUGUGAAAUUAGCCGAGUCGACAGAUAAAAAAUUAUGUGAUGAAAUUCUGAGUUCAGGAGCUGAUCUGAAUGAAAACGAAACGACUCAAGAGGUAGAAGAUGUGAAAAAGCCUGGUCAAACUUGCGCUCAAACUACAAGAGGAUCAAGACGGAGUCUAUUGAAGAAUCACCAAUCGAGGUUGGCGAGAAAAAGCUGGAGACUCAAGAUCAGUUAAAAGAAGUGAACUUAGGGUUGGACGAGAACAAAAAGACGACGUAUAUUAGCACAAAACUUUCGGCUCAACAACAGGAGGAGCUGGCGAGGUUGCUAGUAAAAUACAAGGAUUGCUUCGGCUGGAGUUAUGAGCAAAUGUCUUAGCUGAGUCGAGAAAUUGUAGAAUAUAGACUUCCUAUUAAAAAGAGGUACAAGCCUUACAAAAAACUGGCUCGUAGGUUUGAGCCGAGUGUUGUACUUUAAAUUAAGAAUGAAAUUGAAAAUCUUUUAAUGACCGAAUUUAUUAGACCGGCCUGUUAUAUUGAUUGAGUAUCUAAUAAUACCAGUACGAAAAAAUGGCAAACUUAGAUUUUGUAUCGAUUUUAGAAAUUUGAAUUUGGUUACACCUAAAGAUAAAUACCGGAUGCCCAUAGCGGACAUGCUAGUGGAUUCGGCAGUCGGACAUAAAAUUUUAUCAUUUAUGGACGGUCAUGCGGGCUAUAAUCAAAUUUUUAUUGCCAUAGAAGAUGUAGCUAAAAUGACUUUUAGAUACUCGUGGUCUAUUUAGACCUUUGAAUGGAUGGUGAUACCUUUCGGCUUAAAGAAUGCUAGAGUCACUUAUCAAAGGGCGAUGAAUUUUAUUUUUUAGGAUUUGAUCGGUAAAAUAUUAAAAGUUUACAUCGAUGAUAUUGUUGUAAAAUCUAAAUCACAGACCGAUCAUUGGGCUGAUUUAUAACUUGCUUUUGGGCGCAUGAAGAAAUAUAAUUUCAAAAUGAAUACUUUGAAAUACGCUUUUGGGGUUUUAGCAGAAAACUUUCUUGGAUUCCUGAUACACCAAAAAGGAAUCGAAAUAGGUAAAAAUAAGGAAAAGACGAUUAUAGAGUUACCACCGCCUAAAAAUAAGGAGUUGCAGAGCUUAUUAGGUAAAAUAAACUACUUAUGACGUUUCAUAUCUAACCUAGCCGGUAGAAUCGGAUUAUUCACUCCAUUUCUUUGUCUCAAAAAUCAAGAGUAGUUUAUUUGGAUAGAGAAACAACAAAAAGUAUUCGAAAAUAUUAACAGAUAUUUAGCGAAUCCUCCGGUCUUUAUUCCUUCUCAGUAGGACAAGUCGAUGAAGUUAUAUAUAUCAGCUGCUGAAGAAAAUUUAUGGUGUUUAUUGGCCCAAGAAAACAGUAAAAAAGAAGAACAAGCUAUUUACUAUCUUAGCUGACGCUUACUAGAUGUCGAAAGACGUUAUUCGGCAAUAGAAAAUUAUGCUUAGCAUUAUAUUACAAUUUAGGGGCAAUUGUUGGCGCCAUAAAAGUUGCGCCACGUGGUGAACCGGGAUGCACCGUAAGUAUAGCCCUUAAAAGCAGAAACAAAUGACAUAUGGUGCACCGUGAAUAAAGAAGAACACAUCAGAAACUGCAAAAUGGUUAAAGCUUUGCGGUUAAGAUCGGCUAGUAGUGGCCCAAGAAAUCAGGAAUGUGACCGAUCAUGGGAAUAACUGAAUAACAACAGGCGAAAUUAUAAAUAGAUAAGAGACUCCUGACAAAGGGGUCUUUUUCCUCUGUGAACAAAAAAAUCAAUUUUUAUUUCCAUUGCAUUUUACUACUUUCUAGGAGUAGUUUAUCUAUAAUCUUUUAAUUUUUUCUGCAUUUACUGCAUUUUCUAGAAAUAGUUUGUAGAGCAAAAUUUCUUUCGAGAUAGUACGCCGAGGCACACCCUUUUCGAAAACAUUUUCAAAGUCUGAAACAAUAUAUAAGCUUUUCGACUCUUCAGCCGAACAGAAAAUACUGUGCUAUUCCUUGACUCGGCUGAUCUAGUUGAACCGAACUAACUGUGUGGUGUUAAAUUCGGCUGAUUCGAUCCCUCAUCGGCUGAAUCGCUUGAUUCGAUAACUGGUGCAAAUUUCGAAGAUCAUCAUUCGUAGCCGCUCUGUCUCCUCAUGCGCUUCCUGAAGGAGGGUUUUUACUGAGUCAGUAGUCAAAGAAAUUGGCUCGCAACAUAUUGUAAUUUUAUAUAUAACCCCUCUAAUCCUCGGGCCUUUUUUUUUUUUUUACUUGUCUUAUCUUUUUGUUUUUCUUUUUACAUUAACAAAAACUCAAAAGGGGGUUAGUAAAUUCUACAACUAUUUAAUUUUCGGGUUGUAGAUAUUAUAAUUCCUUUUUGGAUUGUAGACUUUAGCAGUUCUCAAUACAGAAAGGCCAAAUUAUAUUUUUUGGUCCUCAAACUAUAGAGUGUAGGACACUUUAGUUCUCAAAAUUUUAAUUUAUCAUAAUAUUAGACUUAAAUUUUUUAAUUUAUUGCAAUCAAAUUAAAAAAAUAUAGUUGACUAAAUAUUAAUGUGUCGCCAAUAUAAAAGUGAUUUGAUAAUGAUAUUAUUGAUGAUAGGAUAAUGAUUAAAAUAUCAUACUAUUUUAUAUCGGCGAGACGUUAAUAUUUAAUAAACUAAAAUUAUAAUAAUAUGUAAAAUUUUAAUAAUAUAAAGGAAAAACUUCAAAUACCACCUAUCUGGUUUCACACUUUCUCACUUUAUUACUCUAUAGUUUGAAGUGUAUCAUUUUAAUACCCUAUGGUUUUAUUUUUCUUUUUCUAUGAGCACCUCCGUUAACUCUCCGUUAAAUCAUAUAUAUAUUUAAGAAAUUUUAGAUACCUCACCUAUAGUUUUUUUAAUAUUCACUUUAGUAUCCCGUCGUUUAUCAAAUUUUUACUUUUAAUACCCAAUGGUUUUGAUUUUAUCACUGAUUUAACGAAAAAAUUAACGAAGAAGAUAACGGAAAGAGAAAAACGAAACCAUAGAAUAAUAAAGUGAUACAUUUUAAAUUAUAUGAUAUUAAAAUGAAAGGUGCAAACAAUAGGAGUGAUAUUUAAAGUUUUUUCUAAUAUAAGUUAUAAUAAAUUAAAUUUUGAAAAAUUAAAGUGUGAGUUGGCCAGAUAGUUUGAGAAGUUAAAUAGUUUUGAGGAUCAAAAUGAAAAUAGUCAGUUCCACUGUUUUCGUUAUUCUCGUCCCUUCACUCUCUGCUCGAUCGCUCUUUUGCUCGGCCAUCAAUGGCGGGAGGGAAACCCACCCCCUCUUCCUCCUCCUCCUUCUCCGUACCCCGCUCCCUCCUCGCCCUCGCUGCCGUAACCCUAAUCUCCCUCACCUUCCUCACCCUCCGCUCCCUCCGCUCACCUCCCCAGGUACCUCUCUUCCCCUUCCCUCUCCCUCUCCCUCUCCCUCUCCUUUCUCUUCGAUCCCUCACCGUCUAGGGUUUCCUCUCAGGCCACCGUCAUCGUGGACGCUGCGGAUCCGAUCUCUUCGUCUUCGCCAUCUCCGCCCUCAUCUUCGGUUUACCACUCCCCGGAGGUGUUUCCCAUGAAUUAUGCGGAGAUGGAGCGGAGAUUUAGGGUUUAUGUGUAUCCGGACGGGGAUCCGGGGACGUACUACCAGACGCCGCGGAAGCUGACGGGAAAGUACGCGAGCGAGGGGUACUUCUUCCAGAACAUUCGGGAGGGCCGGUUCCGGACGGAGGAUCCCGACGAGGCGGAUCUCUUCUUCGUCCCCAUUUCGUGCCACAAGAUGCGGGGGAAGGUAGGGUUUUGAAAUCCUUUGCCCUUUUUUUUUCUGGAUUAGUUGUUCAGUUGGUGUGAGCUCAUUGUUAUUACAACAAUGUUAACCUAGUAAUUUACUUCAGUUAGUAGUAAGUUGUCAUUUGUAAAAGAUCGAAUCUUGAACAGUUUGAGAUUAUCUUGAUAAUGCUAAUGGGUUGACUCCCUCCCCUAGUUUUGAAGUUGCAAGCUUUAGCAACUUUGGUGUUAUUAGGUAUUAGAAGAGCAGAUAGUGAUGAUGACUGAUUACAUUUUAACUCUGCUUAUCACGAAUGCAAAUAAUGAAGCUAAAUAUCUACAUGGUGAGUUACAUUGGCUAUUGAAUGUGGUUGCUUACGUGUAUGCAACUGAAAUAGAUUUGUUUAGAUUGUAGAGGGAAUUUUGGACUGAUCAUUGCCAACUUAUUAUUUUUCUUGUUUGCUGUAAACUGCUACGUUUUGAAAAAUUAAAUGGUCCGAAUUCCUAAAGAUAGUUAGUAAGAUGAGAAUCUUAUACAUCACAUCUCAUUCAUAAAGUGGACUCAUUUAUCAAUCAGCGGGAACUUAUAAUUCUUGUACAAGGUUAGCUAAAAAAAGAAAGAAAGAAAGAUGGUGCCUUCCAAAUAGGACAAGACUGCUUUUUCUUUGUCUCUUGCUACUCAAACUGCAGUUUUCUGUAGGUAAGUUUGUAAAAGAAAUAAUUGAAGAGAGAGGAAUAAGACUGUGUCUAUUUUGUUUUGUGAUACAAUUCAAGAUUUCUUUAAUUUAUAUUGAAUCUAUUUUAGGGGUCAUGCUUUUGUUUAUUUUAUAUUGUGGACUAAACUCAAGUCAACAUCCAUUGCCCUAGAUCAAUUGGUCCAUAGUCCAUGGCACCACUUACUUGUACAUUUAUUGAGGAUGAGUCUUUCCAAAGCAGAUCCAUACAAGCAUAUACUGCAUCUACAUUACCAUGUCCAGAGAAAAGGAACUCAGAUAGAGUUUCUUUCUUAUUUUUGAAUGCCAUAUAGAGCAGAAAAUCCUUGUACAGAAAAAUAUACCGAUGGAAAGUGUCCCACUGGAAUACGACAAAAUUUAUUAGUGCUUCAUAUAAUUGGUGUAGCAAAUGGUUGAUUUGUGCAAUAUGUGCACAAACUGGUUUCUCUUAUAAUUAUUGUUUCGUACAAUUACAUUCAGUAUCCACAUGAUGCAUUCUUAAUUUGCAGGGCAUUUCUUAUGAGAAUAUGACGAUAAUAGUGAAGAAUUAUGUUGAAGGAUUGAUUAAUAAGUAUCCUUACUGGAAUAGGACACUGGGUGCAGAUCACUUUUUUGUCACCUGCCAUGAUGUUGGUGUGAGGGCAUUUGAAGGACUUCCACUGCUUGUAAAAAACUCCAUUCGAGUUGUCUGCUCACCAAGCUAUGAUGUUGGGUAUAUCCCACACAAGGAUGUUGCUCUUCCUCAAGUGCUGCAACCAUUUGCACUUCCAAGGGGAGGAAACAACAUUGAAAACAGGUUAAGUCUUAAUUCUUUUCUAAUGUCUGAAGCCAUCUGUCCUACUAUAAUUCUUACAGGUGAAUAUAAACCCUGCUUCUUUUUUUUUUAUCAAAAAUCUGUCAAUGUAUAACUUCUAAAUAUUCUGAUAGAAGAAAUGUAAAUUCUCAAACUAUGUUCACGUCUCAACAGAAGAACAAUAAUUUGGUUAGGAAGCUGCAUUAAAGCACCAAUUGUAUUUUGUUAAGUUCUUUUUUGAAGCUAGUCCUCCAUCAGGUCUGAUGUUUUGACAUGUUUGUAUAUUUGUGGACGGUGACCAAUAAGUCACACAGUGCAUACACUGUAGGUUAGCUUGUUUGCCAGUGCAUGCAUCUUAAUUCUUAGAAUUUCUCCACGUUCUUGUUGAGCUCCAAUCAUGCUUGGUACACCAUCAUAAGUACAAUAACAAAAAUAUGAGAUACCUGAUUUGUUGUCUGGGAUUUGGUUAUCUGCAGAUGCUUGUGCAGAUGUUAGUACUUGUGAAUUUUUUAUUUUAUAUUCAACCUUGCGCCAGUAUAAUAACAUAUUGAUACAUGUUGAACAUUCCUAUUCUAAGCAAUAAUGUGGUUUCUGGCCAUGUACUUAUAAUUUCGAAAAUUCUAUCCUUUUUAUUUUGGACUUUCUCAUAAGUUGUUUUUUUGAAUCAACGUCAGGACAAUACUUGGAUUUUGGGCUGGCCAUCGUAAUUCAAAAAUAAGAGUUAUUCUAGCCCGUGUUUGGGAGAAUGAUACAGAGCUUGCCAUCAGCAAUAAUCGGAUAAGCAGAGCUAUUGGAGAAUUAGUUUACCAGAAGCAAUUCUAUAGGACUAAAUUUUGCAUUUGUCCAGGUGGCUCCCAAGUUAACAGUGCCCGUAUAGCUGACUCUAUUCACUAUGGCUGCAUUCCGGGUUAGAGCCAAUCUUCCAAUCUUUUGCCAAUGUUUCUACUCUACUUCACUUUUUGGCAGAAUUAGAUUGUGUUGUAGUGUUCUUUUCUCUUGGAACUGAAUGCUACUUUUCCAAUAUUGUCCUUCUGUUUAUACUCACAAAUUGUUUCUUCUUUUUUUCAGUAAUUUUGUCAAAUUACUAUGAUCUGCCAUUUAAUGACAUUCUUGAUUGGCGGAAGUUUUCUAUUAUACUCAAGGAGAGUGAUGUCUACCAGCUAAAGUCUGUUUUGAAGUCUAUUUCUAAUGAAGAGUUUAUUGCACUGCACAACUCCUUAGUCGAGGUACGUCGUAUUGUCAAAUUUCUUGAUGAUUCAGACUUUUACUACUUGGUUGUGUAAUGAUUUCUGGUCAUUAUCAAAUAGUUUGUUGUCUUGCAAGUUUAUGCAACCACUAUACAUCUAUUAUAAACUGUGAAAUAGUGAUUACCUUAUUUAUUCACAUCCUAUUUUGCAUAUUGCUGCUGGGAAGAUGUAUAUUAUUUUAAAAAACAAACAUAUUUAUGAAAAAUUUCUACCAAAUAUUGAUGCUUACAACAAUAUUGAUGAGCAGUAUAUACACAACACACAAAUUACAGAACUGAAGAUCUUAUCUUGUUAUUCUUUGUAAUCAGUGACGAUGACAGCUCCAUUUGCUUGCCAUGUCAAUGUUCUAUAUCUCAAGAGGAACUGAAUCUGAAGAAACACAAUUUUAAAUUAGGCUAAAUUACAUAAAAGCCCCUUGUCAAAAUCCGAAUUUUCACUUUUCCCCCCUGUCAUUUAAAAGCCUACACUUUGCCCCCUUGUAAAAUGAAAAAUAUUCAUGUGUAAAAUGACCAUUUUGCCCCUCACCAUUUUCGUCUCCUCCAUCAUCUUUUUCAACCGCCGCCUCGAUCGGCCGCGAUUCACACCUCGAUCGGCCGCGAUUUCUCUCCAUUUUCUUCUCCACCUGCUCCCUUUCUUCUCCUGCACCCUCGUCGCCCCUCGAUUUCAGCGACAGUAGGGAGGAAAUCGAGGUGGGCGUUGAUGGAGAGGUAGGCAAGGGCAACGAGGGCGAAGGCGAGGCGGCGGAGGAGGGCGAAGGGGAUGUGGGCGAGGGCGAGGCGGCGGAGGAGGGCGAGGCGGCGAGGCGGCGAGCCGGAGGGAAGAGGAGGGCGAGGCGGCGAGGCGGCGAGCCGGAGGGAGGCGAAGCAAUAGGAAAGAGGGCGGAGGGGUAUUUUUGGCAUAAAAAAAAUAUUUUAUAACAUAACCCUAACGGUAGGGGUGAAGUGUCAUUUUACAAGGGGGCAAAGUGUAGGUUUUUGAAUGACAGGGGGAGAAAGUGAAAAAUCGGGUUUUGACAGGGGGGUUUUCUAUAAUUUAGCCUUUAAAUUAAGAUAUUUGGUAAACCAUAGCUAGACUGGAAAUGAUAUCAUAUUCAAAGGCUACAGUUAGGAAUCUUAUUCUUGGAUAUGACGGAGCAAAAUUAUCGGCCUUCUUGAUAGCUAGUUCAAGAUUUUGUCUCUUUUCUUUUCAUCCGAUGCGCUUUCCUCAUCAAUUCCUUUUUCCUAACUACCCAACCCUUUAGUUUUGUGUCAAGUCUUCCUUUUUGAUCAUUAAAUACAUGCCUCAUUGCUAACUUCGCCCUCUAUACUGUAAGAUAUAUGGUUUUGACUUCUUUGCUCUGGGAUCUAAACUAUUGGUUGGGAAGUGUAUUUCUUGGUGUGGCAAUUUCAUUUUGUUGGUUCGCUAGGGUUACUGGCAGCUAUGUUUCAUUUUUCCUCAGGGGUGUGUUUGGUUCUAUGUAAAACUAUGAAAAAUUAUUUUCAAGGAAAAAGGCUUUUCCUUUUACGAUUUCUGACGGUUGGUUAGAAGGAAAGUAAAAGUUGUUUUCCAGCUAUUGUUGCUUGGUUUGUAUGAAAAGGAAAAGAAAAUUUGUUUUCCUUUUUGUAUUUUCUUGUUUGGUUGAUAGGAAAAAGUGAGAUAGAAAUACCUCCUAUAUGUUGGAGGUGCCACUAUUAAAAAUUGAUAUAUUUUGGUGAAUAAUAACAAUUGUAAUAUGAGUUCAAUUAAUUGUAUCAAAAUAGUUCUACGUACUUCUUGUUUAUAAGAUCCCAACAUUGCCACAACCAUUUAUAUGUUUUUUUUUUUGAAGUUCAACUGCUCAAAUUGUCCAUAAAGCAUUUAAAAACAGCAUAAGGACAUGCAUAUAAUGGACAAGAUAUAUGUAAUCUGUCUAAUUCUUAUACCAAAAAGUCAUCUGAACGAUAUGGAUAUAAAGCAAUGGAAUACAAUACUUUAAAAAAAGAUAGAAAUUACAAACUUACAAACAAAAAUAAUCAACAUAUAAUAUAUUAACAAAUAGAGUGAGUCUUCAAAAUAAAACAUCAACUAUUUAACAUCAAAUUUUUAGACAAAUUCUAGUGAAACCAGAACCCAAAAGUAAGUAGUGUGACACCCCAAUAGUCCCACGUCGGAUAAUGUGGGAGAGUAUGAUGAGUUUAUAAGUGACGAACACACUAGUAAUAAUAACUGGACUUAAGUAUUUUGGGCCGGUGGUUUGGGCUCAACGAGUUAUUAUUGCUAGCGGGUCAGGUCAUUGCAUUUGGUAUCAGAGCCAAUUACCAGCCGGAAAUAUGAGAUGGAUCUCAUAUCGCCCGGUGAAUUUAGGACUGUAUGUGAUUGGGCCGAGUUGACAUGGAUGUUAGGGCGCUGACAUGGAUGUUAGGGCCUACUAAACGAGGGGAGGGGAGUAUGUGACACUCCAAUAGUCUCACAUCGGAUAACGUGGGAGAGUAUGAUGGGUUUAUAAGUGACGGACACACUAGUAAUAAUAAUUGGGCUUAAUCAUUUUAGGCUGGUGGUUUGUGCCCAACAAGUUAUUAUUGCUAGCGGCUCGGAUUGUUUGCAAGUAGGUAAAAAAAAUAGCAAACUACAUAGUAGUACCAUCUAUACUAUGCGCCAACUUACAUCCAAAACCAUCAAGUUCCAAAAGACAAAUUACUAUACUAACAAUUUUAAAUACUUAGCAACCAGACUAAAAUUAUUUUUAGAAAUUGGUCUUCCAUUCAACUCGCAUUUCUGGGCUACGAACUAAAAAAAGUUUUCCAACUAUCUUAUUUCUCAAGUACGCAUAUGCAACAAUACCUAUGUGCUUGGGGAUAUUAUGUGACUUUAUAGAGCUCCAUGUCUCCUUUUUGUGCAUAAUCUUGGCAUCCUUCAUUGAAUCUGCUAAUUCUCCAAUCUUUUCCACUAAUAAUAGAAAUUCUGAAUCUGAAUGUUUUUGUUUCUUGGCUUUUGAGGUUGUACCUAUGCUAGACUUGGUCGCCAGUUGAUCAGGAUUUUGUCGUUUAUGUCCUUGAGAAGAGUUGUUGGUGAAAUGUGCUUGCUUUCUUCCGAAUAUAAAUCCUCCAAGCCAAACUCAUCACCAUCAUCAUUGUUCUCUUCUUCAUCAAGAUUAAUAUUAUUUGGAUCAUCCAAUGCAAAUUCUCCAGUUGCUUGAUCAUCUCCGCAUAUGAUUGCUAGCUCGUCAUAGUGCUGAAUAGGACAAUUUAGGUAGCAUACAUCUUUGGGAUGAGCCUACAAGAAUAUAAAAUAAAUAACUUCUUAGUAUAAAAUAUGAAUGAUAUAUGAAAUUUAAGAUGAAACUGAAAAAAAAACAUUACCUGAAUAAAGUCUUGGUAAGAUCCUUCACUUAAACUAAUAGUUUUGCUAACUGGAUCCCAUGAAGCACCACUCAAAACUUUUUAAUUGAGUGAUUCUAGACCACUUCGUCUUGAAGGUGCGCAGCCGAUUUUCAACUUUAGUCCAAUUACAAGAAACUUGGAAUUUGGAUGACAUUGCUCUUGCCGCAGCUACAAAGGCUGGCCUUUUGUAUGAUUUGUCCACUUUCAUACCAAUACUAGCUUGAUGUACCAAAAAUUUUAUAAGAAAGUCGGACAUCUCAUUUGUCCACUUAAAACGUUUUUAGUUCCUUGAUUUACACUAGCUUCAGAAUUAUGCUAAACUGACAUUGAUUGUGUAUUACUAUGUUGCUCCACUAGUGUAAUGACCCGCGCUUCACGGCGGGAGGUCGUAACAUUGAGAGCUAAUAAUAUGACUUUCAUUAUAUUUAUUUAUCACGAAACAUACAGAUAUAUAUAUAUAUAACAUUCACAUUAUGUAAGAUAAAUUAGAGACCAAACAAUACAUGAUUAUAUAUAACAUUCAUAUUAUAUUCAAUCAUUCCUUCACGUUAGUUAAUAAGUAGAGACAUAACCCUUACACAUUCCGAUGCACUUGGUGAAUGGGGUGAACAGAAUUCCUAGUAUAUCAGAAAAGUUGGUGGAGGGGAGGAUGCAUGCAUUCUAAGGAUACGCCAAAGAUUUAGAAAAGGACAAAGAAAAUCAUUCCUAAAUAUGUACUAUGUUGAUUUUUUGGUUUCAUGACCUUUGUGUUUGGAGUUUAACAAUAUUGGGUUAAUAUAUUAGAAAAAGUUGGUGUAGGGGAAAAUGCACUCGGAGAUGAUAAGAAAGGAAAGCAAAAGGAGAAGACAUUCGUAUAUAGUAUGAAAAAUUUUGUAAGAGAAAAGCUGUAUCUUGUGGUGAAGGAUAUACUAUUGUGCUAUUUGUGAUUUAAAAAAAGUAAAAGACAAUUUACAAAUAAUUUUCAUUGGUGAAUUGGAAUGAAAAACAGCAAAUUUCAAUGUUCUGUAAAGUAUAUAGUUUUUUUUUUAUAGGAGUAUCACGAGUGGCUAAAAAAAAAUAUUAAAGGCUUGCAAUUCGAUACCAGAAUUUUUUCUUAGGCCUAGAGUUUAAGUUUCGUGUCAUUCUGACACUCAAAAAGUCCUAGAGGACGGAAAAUACGAGCAAUUUGAUUAACGAAUUUUAGAGAAUUUUUACUGAGGAGACCUUCGGCGACAAAAGAAAAGUUCAGAAUCUGCUAAAAUUUAACGAUGACUUGGUCUAGUUAAUUUUAACGAGCUUGCCAAAAUCAUUUAUUGUUUAACAUGAUACACAGAUGCCAUGAAACAAAAAUGUUUCCAUAGUACAUGGCCCCUUUAACAUAGCCCAUGUGAGUCCCAUGUCGAGGGAGGGGAGAACUUGUGAGGGAGAGAAAACCCAUAUAAAAGAAAGGCCACGUGGCUCGACGAAGGAACGGCAUUUGGUUUCAACUUUAGUAUAGAGUUUAAUAAUAAUAUGACUUUCAUUAUAUUUAUUUAUCACGAAACAUACAGAUAUAUAUAACAUUCACAUUAUGUAAGAUAAAUAGAGACAAACAUACAUAUAUGUAUAACAUUUACAUUAUAUACAACAUUCCUUCACGUAGUUAAAUAAGUAGAGACAAACCUACACAUUCAUGCACCUGUUUGAUGGUGAACAACAAUGCUAUAUAUAUAAAAAGUUGGGGGGAGUAUGCAUGCACUCUAAUGAUAAGAAAGAUAGCAAAAGGAUAAGAAAAUAUUCUAUGUACUAUGGGAUUUUUUGUUUCAUGCGCCCUGUGUUUGAUGUUAAACAAUAUUGGUAUAUAUAGAAAAAGUUGGGUAGGAUAAAUGCAUCAGAAUGAUAGGAAAGAAAGCAAAAGGAGAAGGAAUAUUCUAUGUAGUAUGAAAAAUUUUGUAAGAGAAAAGGUUAUCUUGUGGGUGAGAUACUAUUUCUAUUGGACUUAAAAAAGUAAAAGACAAUUUUCAAAUAAUUUAUGGUGAAAUUGGAAUGAAAACAGGAAAUUUAGAAUUUUCUGUAGGGAAUAUAGUUUUUUUUUUUUAGGAGAUACACAGUGUAAAAAAAAAAAUUAAACUUUGAAUAUAUGCCGGAAUUAUUUUUCUUAGGCUAGAUUUAAAGUUUCGUGUCAUUCUGACACUCCAAAAGUGGGGACGGAAAAUAACAGCAAUCUGAUAAAGAUUUUAGUUGGUAGACCUUUCGGCGACAAAGAAAAGGUUCAGAACUGUAAAAUUAAGAUGACGUUCUUCUGGUUGAUUUUAACUAAGCUUGCUUUUAAAAUCAUUAUUGUUUAACAUGAUACACAGGGUGCAUGAAACAAAAUGUUCCAUAGUACAUGCCCCUUUAACAUAGCCCAUGUGAGUCCAUGUGAGGGAGGGAGAACUUGUGAGGGAGAGAGAGAAAACCCAUAUAAAAGAAAGGCCACGUGGCUCGACGAAGGAACGGCAUUUGGUUUCAACUUUAGUAUAGAGUUUAAUAGUAUCCUGUUAUGGCUACAUGAUUAGACUAGUUAACUAACUAAAAUAUAAAUCAAAUUACAAUAUAAAUCAUAUAACAAAAUACACUGAAUCUUAAAAUAAAAUACAUACCGAAUUUUAAUCAAACAUAAAAAUCAAAGCACAUAUUGAUUUCUAAAAAAAUCAUCACAUCAAAUUUCAAAACAAGAUACAUUACAUAGCAAAUUUCAUUGCACACUACAUACUAAAAUACACAGUAAGUAUCAAAACCAAAAAAUGAAAGUACAAACUAUAUUCUAUCCAAACCAUUAUCACAAAUAUUAAAGUGUAUAGCAACUUACAUAUCCAAAAUCGUAACAAUUUAUAACUCUAAGCUACCUUCUCAAAAAUUAAAAAACAAUAUAUAACUCUACCCAAGGUCUAUAUUAGAGCUAUCUAUACAAAAGUUGAAAGGUUCAAUAAUACAUAUCAAGUAGAACCACAAUCUCUUUUCCACAUUUGAUCGGCAAUUUGAUCCCUUAACCGCCCACUCCCAGUUUUCUUCUCUUUGUUCUCUUGUCGAUCUAGCAUAUGGAUUUGAGUGAGUUUGUUGUGUCCUUUCUACAGUUCUCACAAUUCGAUCCCUAGGUGAUACACCUAUUAUGAAAUUAUGCAAGAUACAACACACAAGAACUAAAGCAACCUGUGUUGGAUAUGGAAAAUGAGGAUAACAUGUUAAAAUGGAUAACAUGUUAAAAUUUUAAAUUGUUGCUUCAAGAUUCCAAAUGGACGUUCUAUGGUUGUUCUUAGUGAGGGGUGUCGUAGGUUGAAUAGCUCCUUUGAGUUUGUUGGAGGAGUAUCUUCACUAAAAUCUUUCAAGUGAUAUCGAGUGCUACAGUAAGGAGAAAUGAAACAUUUUUUUAUGAAAUAUCCUGCAUCAACAAGAAAGUACUUCACUACAUUUCACAGCAACCACUACUUAGUAAAUGGACUAUUAGGAUUAGAAUUAAUUCAAUUAUUAGUAAUCUACCUUCUAAAAUAAGUCCAUUUGGUCUCUCCAACACAUUGCGUAGAACAGUACACUCAUUAGCUGAUCCUUCUCAAUCAGCCAAUGUAUAGGAAAAUAUUAAAUCAAAUCUAACUACGGCCAUAAUAUUUUGAGUAGGUCCUUGGUAUCGUCCACAGAAUUGACCAAUAAUGCUACUAGGUACUCUAGCUGGCACAUGUGUACAUCUAUUGCCCCUGUACAAUCCUGCAACGUAAGAUCGUGCAUCUCGAUUUACUAUUAUCAACUUAAAUAAAAAAAAAAUAUCAAUCACUCUUAAUUAUAAUACAAUACCUUGAAAAAUAGCCAAAAUCUGAAGUCAUUUUUCAUUUUGUCUGGUAUUAUUGCGGCAGGUGGAGACAUAAGCUCAUCUUUGAGAGAUGCAAUAGCAUUCAAUGUCGUUUUAAAAUAUCAGCUAACGGUCCCACCAGAACAACUAAAUUAUUGCCAAUUACUCUAUUUUUUUUAUUAUGCCCAAUUGUGUGUAAGAACAUCAUUAAUUGUUCCUCAACUGAUACAUGGAUAGAAUCACAUAGUAGGUGUGUUUCUCUGAUCAUUUUGCUCAAGUGAUAAAAGGAUUUUCUAUCCAUUCUAAUCAUAGCAAUAGAAAUUCUAUCACUACGGCGGAUUCUAUUUAGAUAAGUUUGUCUAUCCAAAUCAUUAUGUGCGGAUAAUGUCUUAGGAAUGCUUGAAUUUUUUUUUACAACUUUCGCUAUUGCUGCACAAAUAAACGAAAAGGCAAAUUUUUCAAAAUCUUCAGAUUGAGGGGGGGCAUCCUCCAUGUGCAAAUCCAUCUACAAAAAGAAUUAUAUUAUAAUGGUAGCAGACAAAUUUUGAAGUUAUAUAAAUAGCUGAUCAUGCAAAUAUAGUUCACCAAAGUUGAGACAAGUUUGAAGCAAUUUUAAAAGACAAGUAGGUUGCCAAAGAUGUAGGCAAAUUUUAAGCAGUUUCAAAAGAUAAAUAGAUGAAAAUUUUAAACCUAAGAGUCAUAAAAAGAAUCGCAAACAAUAUAGAGUAUGACUUGCCCUAUUGAUAGUCGCAAAAUUUAAAGGAAAUAGAAUUAGAAAAAAAAAAUCAGCAGAAUAAGAGCCAAAGCAUAUUAUAAGUAUUUAAAAAAUUAAGAUAAAAAUGGAAAAAACUUAUCUCUACUAUCACCCGUUUGAUCUAGCUAUCAAAUCUUUAAAAUAUUUGGUUUUUCUACCUAGCCCUGUAAUUUAUUUGAUUUGAACCAAGUAAUAAUUUUUAACUUCAAAAUUUAAAUGCAUCAUAUAUUUUUACGGGCUUAAUUAGCGUUCUUUUUACAAUUCUGCAACUAUAAAUUUAUCAAACUAAACAAUCAAUUUUUAAAUUUUAUACUGGAAGAACCAUCAAAUGACAUAAUCAAACAAAUUGAAAGGUUAGGGAGUAAAAUUAAAUUUUUAACUUGGAUAGUCAAAUCAAAAUGGUCUAUAAUUCAACUUAAGUUCUAUACAUUUUUAACUCAAAAGAAAGAGGAAUUACGAAAUAUUAUUUUUUAAUAGUCAUUGAUAGCAAAUUAAGACAUGUAUUGCAAAUAUACAUUCUAAUCAAAGCGUUAUAGAGCUAGGCUCCUAUGCUUUCGAAAGUACGGAUGCCUCCGUGCUUGUAAGUUGUUUUCGAUGAUGGGACAUCUGAUUUGGCGAUCGGUUCCGUUAGACAUGAUCUACGCUAUUGGAACUAUCUAGAAACUAAAUUUCAUAAUUUUUUGAUUUCGUUUGUCUAGUGAACGAGUAGCCUCAAAAUGAACGAUUGACAAUGAAAAUCUCAUAAAAAAUAGUGAUAAAGGACUCAAAUUUCAAAUCGGAAGUAUUGAUCUUGCUAUUGAUAUGAAGUAGAAUUUUCUAUUAAAUUUUCAUGUAAUUUGAAUACUUCUACACCGCUGAACUUAAAAACGUGCCACAUCGGCCGUUAAAAUAGUCAUUUUUGAGAUCUUUAGAUCGCUUGGUAAAUGAUGUCAAAAAAUUAUAAAAUUUGGUUUCUAGAUAGUUCCAAUAGAGUAGAUUAUACCUAACGGAGCCAAUUGUCGAGUCGGAUGUCCUAUCAUCGAAAACAACUUACAAACACGGAGGUCUCCGUACUUUCGAAAGUACCGGAGACGUACUCAAGUGUUAUAUAUGAAUAACAAGAAGAUACUGCUAGUUUUGGGGGGUCGGGGGUGGGGGGGAAGGAAUAUAUGAAAUGCAUAGUAUUUAUUCAAAUCAUCUAUGUGGAAUUCAUAGAAAAAAUGUAAUAAAACUGUAUGGUAGAAAAUGAAAUACUGAGAAAGAGGCAGACUUUGAUUGCACAAACUCAUCAGUAACUUUAAAGUUUAUUAUAUUCUGGAAAUGGGAUUUCUCUUUAUCUCUACUAAUUGCACAAAAAUCUUCUAGAAGGAAGAGAAUGGCAGCUAAAGUCUUUGUUUUAGAAACCUUGACCUAAGCAAAAUCAAGUACAGAGACUUGGGUUUAAAUAUCUUGACCAUUCUCACUCUUGGGUCGAAAUAGAAUUAAUGUAAUUUUAAAGUCGUAAAUACUACCUAUAGAUGAAAUAGAAUAAGUAUUUAUGGGCAAAGAGAGAGAGAUAGACCUUUGAAGCUAUUGGAGCCAGAAGAAACAAAAAAGUACCUUGUUCCUGAAUUGAAGAAGAGGAAGCUGUAGGUGUGUUUUAGGGUUUGAGAGUGGUGAGUAGUGAGAGAGAAGUAUUUUGCAGGGUGGUGACUUUAGCGUGGGAAAGGGAAAAAAUAUUUUCGUUUUCCCGUGUGUCGCUCGCUCCACUUUUCAUUUUCCACCUCUGCCAGGCGGAAAACGAAAGGGCAUAUUUUCCCUAAAAUAUGUAAAAGUAAUUUUCGUUGAAAAAUUUUUUACGCCGAGCCAAACGACUGGAAAACUGUUUUUCAGCUGAAAAACUAUUUCCGGCCUAUUUUUACAUGGAACCAAACACACCCUCAUGGUCUGUGAGCUAUUUUGAUCUUCUUGGAGCAGUUAUCUGUUUGUACUAGGAAAGAUCCACCACCCUUUGUUUGCCUUGGGUGAAUUCUGAUCGAAAAAUUGCGGUGGAAACCAAUCUGAAUGUAGACACUUCAGUUUCAUUUAUAAUGAGUUGAAAGAAGGCUUAAACACUUCAGUUUAGACUAUAAUGAGUUGGAAGAAGUCUUAGCUUUAGAAUCCAAGUUAACCCAAAUUAGCUUAUGGAAUCUAAUGUCAUUGCCUUGAGAAUCUUUUUUUAUUUUUUUAUAUUGUAAUUUCAUAUCUUUAGUAGAUGAAAAUGAUAGAAAAUCAACUUUAUUCUUUAUAAAGACAGGACAUCACUUUGAUUCCUCAAAAAUGUUGGAAAAAUAUGUCUUUACUAUGACGACUGUUCUGUUUCUUUAUGUUUAAUCUGAUUGACUUGAAAAGUUCUAAGACCUUUUAACAAACAACCGAAUCCAAAUGGACAACAGAAACUGUAACCGAAACCGAAACGGAGAUUUUCCGAACCAUUCUGCAAGCUAUCCUGUCAAUGGAAAUAGCAGCAGUCAUUUGGUGCCAUUGCUACAUUAAUCGGCAAUCACAGUUUAAGAAAAUUGCUAUGUUCAUGAAUUUUCAGUUUGCUACGUAGAACUUGUUUGAAGCAUGAAUAGUGUUUUGAGUGCGUCUUCAGGAUUUAAAGAAACUGGUUGCUUCAUCUUCAUUUCUUCUGACAGAUUAUAUUGUUUAUCAGGUCCAAAAGCACUUUGAGUGGCAUUCACCUCCACAGCCUUACGAUGCAUUCCACAUGGUAAUGUAUGAGCUUUGGUUACGGCACCAUGUUAUCAAGUACUAAGCCUGAGGUCACAUACCACAUCUUUUAUGUCGUGGCUAUUCUGCACCAAGAUUGGAGACUGGAUAAAUAGACAUUUUGGAAAGCUCAUGCCGGCCUAGUCGACUGAUUGUGUUCACUGUUUGAUACAUUUUGUCACGUCUCGAGAAUUGGGCGGUUUACCCUAAGUAACAAAAUCCAAAAUUCGCCAACAAUUAGCACUCCAAUGUCGAUCUUAGCUUCCUGAAGAUACAUCUUGCUUCAUGUAAUGGAUCCAUUAGUGUGAGAAUGAUGAGAAAACAGUGUUUUUAUGUUGAGAAGCUCUAUUCUUUUCUUUUUCUCUUGACCUGGGAGUGCUUUUUUCUCCUUUCACAGCUUGAAACUAUUUAUUUUGUUCAAUGUAAUUAUUGGUUAUCACUUUAUUUAAGCUGAUAGUUUCUCCUGUUGAUGCUUAUAAAGAUUGAUGCAAAUGCACAGAGAUUCAAUUGUUAUACUUGUAAAAACAGUUGAUUAGGAGAUCAAUGAAGGGGUGAGUUCUAUUUUGGUUCUCUCAGAGGCAAAGUAAUAAUGCUCCUUUUUUUUUUUCAUAGAAUAAUCCAUGAAUGUUUGCAAAAUUCGCAAGAAAAUGUGUUAGCUCUGAUAUGCAUUCAAAUAUUACCAUAGUUAUCAAUUAUAGUUUUUAACUUUCUUACCCUAAAAAUGGAAUGAAAUCAGAAGAAUACAUAACAUGUUUUAGUUCUAUAAUAAUUAUACACAGCAUAUUUAUUCGUCGCAGUUUUCCUAUGUUUACCGAAUUUCAGAAUACCAAAAGUUUUACCUGUCCAAAACUCCAAAUUUAUCUAAUAAUAUAUCAGAAAAAAAAAGCAUGACAUUUCGUUUGUAGGUAGUUAAAUAUUUUAAAUUAUAUUAAUAGUAUUGGUCAUCGAUUUGAAUGUUCCAAAAUUAAAAUCAGAGUAGGUUGCAGUAAGUUUAAAUAGUUUCUAAAAUAUAUUUGUUUUGUAUGUACUGCCAAUGUGAUUCAAUUUAUGAUAUAUAAUACUGCCAUUCUUAUUUCUCUAUGUGUAUUUCUAUGAAUUACUUCAUUGGAUUAUAUACAAUCUAUUAACUUAUACUAAACCCCAUAAACUUUAGUCCACCUGAGAGAAUCAUCAAAAAUCAAUAACAAUAUAUAAUUUGAUAGUUUUUUCUUUACACAUAGCGCCCUUUCCUUCCCUUUCUCUACAAUAAUAUAAUUUGACAAUUUCUUCGUUACAUGUAGUGCCCUUUCCUUUCCCUUCUCCACGUGGCCAAUUCUCUCCUCUCCUUCCCAUCUUAGACCUCUCUUCCUUUUUCCUUUUAUUCUUCGUCUCACUCUCCCUCUCUUCCCCUCUUUUUACUGAGCCUCUCUCUUUUCCCUUCAUCUACUGUCUAUCUGUCUCUCCCUUCUUUCUCCUCUCUUUCUUCUCACCCCGGAUGCUCUUUCUCUCUUUCUUACCCCUGUCUCUUGCUCCUCUCUCUAGGUUGGUUGGCCGCUUUUCUCUCUCUAAUUACUCUACUUGUGGAUUGAUAUAGUUUCUUCUUUAUACGUGGCGCCCUUUUCUUCCCCUUCUCCACAUGGCCGCUUUUCCCCUCUCAUCUCCAUCUUAGAUCUCUCUCUUUUCCCUUUUCCCUCUACUCUCUGUCUCUCUCUCUCUCUCUUCCCCUCUUCUUACUAAGCCCCUCUCUCUCUUCUCUCUAUUGUUUGUCUGUCUUUCUCUCUCCCUUCUUUCUCAUCUCUCUUCUCGCCCCGAAUGCCUUUCUUCUCUUUUCUCUCAGUCUCUUGCUCAUACUCUCUCUCUAGGGUGGUUGGCCACUUUUCUCCUUCCGAUUUUUCUACUUUCGAAUUGGACGGCCGCAAUGUCGCUAUGAUUAGGUCUAUUUAUUAUUUUGCUUGAAAUUGCUAUAACCCUACCUAGCAAGGUAAGGUGGGUUGCAAGUAGCCUGUAGCCACUCCCUCUCUACUCUCUCUCUCUCUCUCUCUCUCUCUCUCUCUCUCUCUUCGAUGCUUCCCUCUUUACUCGCUCUGCCCGAUUUGGUUGCAUUGGCGGCCAAUGUGAUGGUCGCGAUGGGGUGGCCUCCCUGUGAUGCCCUUUGGUGAUUCCUUCACUCCUAAACCUACUUUAGCCCAAAAGAUUUUUCAAAAUUUAUGAAGAUUAUUUAUUAGAAGAAAUGCAUGAAGAUUGUUGGAGAUUUAGAUCAAAUGUAUUAUAUUUGGUUUAGAUUUGUAGUCAUCUAAAUUGGAGUUAAAUCCUAAUCUAUUUGGGAUUGGAUAUAAUUUAGAUUUAAUUUGGCAUAUAUGAAUUAUAAUUAGGAGUGUGAUUCUAAUCUAAUUAGAAUUAGACUCUAGUUAGGAGACAGGUAUUAUAUAUACAUGCUACGGCCAAGUUAAUGAUGCAGCGACGAAAUUAAGAAGCCAUCCAUUUAUUAAGUCUACGUUGCUUGGUGGUCCGUACGGCUUGGGUGAUCUCUUUGUGAAGCCAUGCUUAAUUAAGCUCUUAAUUAAGUUCAAGCUCUUCAUGCUUCUUUCGGGCUGGUGAUCACGGCGGCUCAAAUUAAUUCAUGCAUGUUGGUGGUCCGUACCAACAAGGAGCCGCGGCCGGUUAAAACAACAUGCUAAUUAAUUAAGGAUCGAAGCAUGUUGUUGGUCUGUACGGAUGGGUGAGAGAGAGGUCCUUCGUUUGGAGUUUCUUGUUGCGGCAUUUCGGAUCUAAAUACGUUUUGAUCUUUCGAGAGAUCUUCUUUGUACUCUGUAUUUUCGACAUUAAUAAAAUAUUUGCUUCGUCUUCGCCCGUGGACAUAGGCCGUUGGCCGAACCACGUAAAUAUCGGUGUGUUCUUUUUUUAUCUUUUCUUUUCUUGCAUUAAAUUAUUUUCUGGAUCUAUUUUUCGCCGUUUCGAUUUUAACAAACUGGUAUCGGAGCCUUUCUAUUCCCUUUGAGGAUUAAGAUGACGACGAAGUUCGAGAUUCAGAAAUUUGACCGGACUAACAGUUUCGCAUUAUGGCAAGUCAAGAUGCGUGCUAUAUUGACGCAGCAAGGAUUGCAGAAGGCACUGUUCGGAAAAGAAAAGAUGUCCGAUUCGUUAACGGUAGAGCAGAAGGAGGAGAUUGACGACAAAGCUCUUACGGCAAUACAAUUAUGUUUAUCCGAUGAGGUAUUGCGCGAGAUCUUGGAUGAAAAGACCGCUGCAGGAUUUUGGCUUAAAUUGGAGUCUCUCUACAUGACGAAAUCUCUCACCAACAAGUUAUAUUUGAAGCAACGUCUCUUCAUGUUGCGCAUGGCGGAAGGUACCUCUAUUAAGUCGCAUUUAGAUGAAUUUAAUUCUAUUAUUAUGGAUCUCCGCUCGAUAGACGUCAAAAUCGAGGAGGAAGAUGAAGCCCUUUUAUUAUUAUGUUCUUUACCGCCCUCUUAUAAGAAUUUUCGUGAGACUUUCUUGUUUGGACGAGAUACUCUAUGUCUCGAUGAUGUUAAAUCCUCUUUACUUUCAAAAGAGAGAAUUGACAUGCAGAUAAGCAACGAGACAGGUGGAGCUUCAGGACAAGGUUUGGUCGCUAGAGGGAGGUCUCGGGAGAAGGGUUCCGGUAAUAGAGGUACAUCUAGAUCAAAGUCAAAGCACAGGAAUCUGAUUUGUGGUUAUUGUAAGAAGAAGGGUCACAUAAAAGCUGAUUGUUUCAAGUUGAAAAAUAAAGAGCAGCGGAAGAAUAACGGUGAUAAAAAUCAAGGUCAGAAAAACACCAAUACUGAAGCAGAAGCAAGUGUUGCAGCAGGAGAAUCAGAUAAAAAUGAUAUCGUCUUUACAGUUACGGAUAAGACACGCAGACAGGAUGAGUGGCUUAUGGACUCCGCAUGUUCUUUUCAUAUCUGUACACAUAGAGAAUGGUUCUCGACGUACAUGCCUAUUGAAGGUGGAGAUGUAUUGAUGGGAAAUCACUCUAAGUGCACAGUUAUUGGAAUUGGCACUGUUCGGGUACGAAUGUUCGAUGGAGUAGUGAGGACUAUAUCUGAGGUUCGGCAUGUUCCGGAUAUGAGAAAAAAUCUGAUCUCAUUGGGUACACUUGAUACUAAAGGCUUUAAGUAUUCUUCAGCUGAUGGAUUAAUGAAGGUCGCUAAAGGGAAUCUUGUAGUGAUGAAGGCCAAGUUGUCCGACAUGUUAUAUGUUCUACAGGGUUCCACUGUGACAGGUUCAGCAGCGGUGACUUCUUCUUCUAUGUCAGAUUCGGAUAGCACCAGAUUAUGGCAUAUGCGACUGGGCCAUAUGAGUGAAUAUGGUAUGAUGAAGUUGGGCGAGAGAGGUUUACUUGGUAGUCAGAGUUUAGAAAAGUUGGACUUCUGCGAGCAUUGUGUUCUUGGCAAACAAAAGAGAGUCAGCUUUAAGGCCGCAGUUCACCGAACAAAAGGUACUCUGGACUACAUCCAUUCUGAUCUUUGGGGACCUUCUCGUACUCCUACUCAUGGUGGUGCUAGAUAUAUGUUGACUUUUAUUGACGACUAUUCUCGUAAAGUGUGGGCGUUCUUUCUGAAAAGUAAGGAUGAGGUGUUCAAUUAUUUCAAGCAGUGGAAGGUCAUGAUUGAGAAGCAAACUGAAAAGAAGAUUAAGAGAUUAAGGACCGACAACGGUUUGGAAUUCUGUUCGUCAGAGUUUGAAGAAUUCUGCAAGAAGGAAGGGAUCGUUCGACAUAAAACCGUUAGGCAUACUCCACAGCAGAACGGGGUGGCCGAACGGAUGAAUAGAACUCUUUUGGAGAGGGCCCGUUGUAUGCUCUCUAAUGCUGGCUUAGCGAAGAGUUUCUGGGCAGAGGCGAUCUCUACGGCAUGCUAUCUGGUGAAUCGAUCUCCACAUUCAGCACUUGAUUGCAAAACUCCGGAGGAGGUAUGGUCUGGUAGCCCUUCUGAUUAUUCUAAUUUGCGAAUAUUUGGUUGUCCUGCUUAUGUUCAUGUUAAUGAAGGCAAGUUAGAACCUAGGGCUAAAAAGUGCAUUUUUAUUGGUUAUGCAUCGGGGGUUAAGGGAUAUAGAUUGUGGUGUCCUGAAUCGUCUAAAUUAAUUAUUAGUAGGGAUGUCACAUUUGAUGAAUCUGCUAUGUUAUAUCCUAACCGUAAUUCUUCUGAUGAGACCCCGAGUGCUAGCAAGCAGGUGGAGGUAGAGACCGAUGGUAUAGUUCAGUCACAGGAUUCUUCUCAGUCAGAACAAGUUCAGUCGACAGACACCUCAGUAACUGAAACCCCACAAGUUGAGAGGCAGAGCAUUGCUACAGGCAGAGCGAGGAGACAGAUCAAACCACCGCAGAGAUAUGGUUAUGAAGAUAUGGUUGCGUACGCUCUUUCAGUGGCACAAGAUACAGAAGAAGAAGGUGAACCUUCGACAUAUAAUCAAGCUAUUUCCGGUGCCAGUUCUGCAGAGUGGUUGGUGGCGAUGAAUGAGGAGAUGGAGUCUCUCCAUAAGAAUCGCACAUGGGAGUUGGUAAAACCGCCUACAGGCAAGAAAAUUGUCGGCUGUAAGUGGGUCUUCAAGAAAAAGGACGGAAUCCCCGGCGUGGAAGAUACAAGGUAUAAAGCUCGUUUAGUUGCUAAGGGCUACAGUCAGGUAGAAGGUGUGGACUUUAAUGAUAUUUUCUCACUCGUCGUAAAGUAUAUUUCUAUUCGUGUUCUUUUAUCGUUAGUAACUAUGAAUGACCUGUAUCUUGAGCAGUUUGAUGUUAAGACAGCUUUUCUGCAUGGAGAACUUAAGGAGCAAAUUUAUAUGAAACAGCCGGAGGGAUUCAUUGUUGAAGGGAAGGAGGACCAUGUUUGCCUGUUAAAGAAAUCACUUUAUGGCUUAAAGCAGUCUCCUCGACAAUGGUAUAAGCGGUUCGACUCCUUUAUGACAGGUCACGGAUAUUCCAGAAGCAAGCGUGACAGUUGCGUGUAUUUCAGAAAGCUUGAUAAGGGAUCUUUCAUAUAUUUGUUGCUCUAUGUCGAUGAUAUGUUAAUUGCUUCCAGUGACAUAGUUGAAAUAAAUAAAUUGAAGGCUUUAUUUAAGGGUGAGUUUGAGAUGAAAGAUCUUAGUGCUGCUAAGAAAAUUUUUGGUAUGAAAAUUAAGAGGGACAACAAGUCAGGACUACUGUAUUUGACACAAGAGAAAUAUAUAGAGAAGAUUUUAAAGCGUUUCGGGAUGACAGACGCAAAACCGGUGAGCACUCCCUUUGAGGUGCAUUUCAAACUUUCCGCCGAGUUAUCACCACAGUCCGAUGAUGAGCGGGAGUACAUGUCACAUGUUCCCUAUUCUAGUGGUGUCUGGAGCAUCAUGUACGCCAUGGUUUGUACACGGUCGGACAUCUCCUACGCAGUGAGCAUGGUUAGUAGAUAUAUGACCAAUCCCGGUAAGGCUCAUUGGCAGGCUAUUAAGUGGAUUCUGAGAUACUUACAAGGUACCACUAACACUUAUUUAGAGUUUGGGAGGUGUAAGGAUGGUGUGGUUGGAUAUGUUGAUUCAGAUUUUGCAGAUGAUUUGGAUAGAAGAAGAUCACUUUCAGGUUAUGUAUUCUCUAUUGACGGAUGUGCUGUUAGUUGGAAAGCUUCACUACAAUCUAUUGUCACCUUGUCUAUGACGGAGGCGGAAUAUAUUGCUAUGACAGAGAGUGUGAAGGAAGCUAUGUGGCUAAGAGGCUUAUUUGGAGAGCUUACUUCUUAUUGGGAUCUGACGAUUGUUUUUUCAGAUAGUCAAAGUGCUAUUCAUUUGUCUAAAGAUCAAAUAUUUCAUGAGAGGACAAAGCACAUCGAUGUAAAGUUUCACUUUGUUCGGGAUGUGAUUGAGAAACGCACGGUGACUGUUAAGAAAAUUGGUACUGAGGACAAUCCGGCGGAUAUGCUUACUAAGUCCCUUACUAUUGCCAAGUUCAAACAUUGUUUGGACUUGGUGGCAGUUGGCAGCACUUGAGACCCUAUGGGGCGUUUGGAGAAGACGGAACAUGGAGCGUUAAGGAGCAUUGAGGCGAAUUAAAUUCAAGGUGGAGUUUUGUUGCGACCUCGACAUAGCGGCGACUAAACUACUAAUUAAACUAAGGUGGAGAUUGUUAUAUUUGGUUUAGAUUUGUAGUUAUCUAAAUUGGAGUUAAAUCCUAAUCUAUUUGGGAUUGGAUAUAAUUUAGAUUUAAUUUGGCAUAUAUAUAUUAUAAUUAGAGUGUAAUUCUAAUCUAAUUAGAAUUAGACUCUAGUUAGGAGACAUGUAUUAUAUAUACAUGCUACGGCCAAGUUAAUGAUGCCGCGACGAAAUUAAGAAGCCAUCCAUUUAUUAAGUCUACGUUGCUUGGUGGUCCGUACGGCUUGGGUGAUCUCUUUAUGAAGCCAUGCUUAAUUAAGCUCUUAAUUAAGUUCAAGCUCUUCAUGCUUCUUUCGGGCUGGUGAUCACGGCGGCUCAAAUUAAUUCAUGCAUGUUGGUAGUCCGUACCAUCAAGGAGCUGCGGCCGGUUAACACAACAUGCUAAUUAAUUAAGGAUCGAAGAAACAUGUUGUUGGUCUGUACGGAUGGGUGAGAGAGCAGUCCCUCGUUUGGAGUUUCUUGUUGCGGCGUUUCGGAUCUAAUUACGUUUUGGUCUUUCUAGAGAUCUUCUUUGUACUCCGCCUUUUCGACAUUAAUAAAGUAUUUGCUCCGUCUUCGCCCGUGGACGUAGGCCGUUGGCCGAACCACGUAAAUAUCGGUGUUCUUUCCUUAUCUUUUCUUUUCUUACAUUAAAUUAUUUUCUGGAUCUAUUUUUCGCCGUUCCGAUUUUAACAAAAUGGGACGGUUUGUUCACAGCAAGAUCGUAUGUAUCUUAGCCCGACUCUGAAAUAGAGGCACAAUAAAAAUUCAUUAUGAAAAUAGAAUUCAUUUUUUAUAUUAUGAAGAUUGUUUACAGAUUUUGCUAAAAAUUUAGAUGGGAUGGCCUCAAUCAUUUAGGCCUACUGUUAGGUCUAUUUCCUUCUCUAUUUUCCUUCUGCUCUAUAUAUUUUUUAUGGUUAUAUAUGAAAACAAAUAUGGUAUUUUUUUUGUACAUUCUAUCGUACGUAAUCUCGAAAAUUUUAAAUAGAGCCUAUAUUGUUGCAAUUAAAACACAUAUUAUAAUUUAGUUGACCGAAUGAUAAUAUGUCCUAGUGUAAUAGUGAUAUAACAUCAUUGUACUUGUUGAUAUUACAAUAAUUAAAAUGCCAAGUCAUUUUUAUAUUAGCGACACUAUUAUCUAAUUAACUAAACUGGAAUGUAGAAUUUAAUUGCAACAAUCUAAAAAGUUCGAAGCAGAAAUUAUAGUAAAUUAAAAUUGAGGACCAAAUUAUCACUCGCUUUUUAUAAGGACCAAAAAUUGUAACUUAGCCAAUUAUGAAUUUAUGCCAUCUUACUAAGAUUUGAAGAACAAUUAAACACCAAACAUUCUCAUCUUUAACCUUCCACAAACAUACUUCUCCCUCUAUCCCUCAACUACUCAACCAAUUUGGUGAUCAGAUACUGCAAGGGACACCCCCUACCAACAAUCCUAUUCUUUUCUUCAGAUUUUCCAUCAUUCAUCCAUUUAUCACGCGAAAAAAGUAAAUGUGCUUUGCAACCAUAUUUAUAAAAUUUAAUAUUUGCUACUCCAGUUAAUGCAGCAACAUGUAUUACAGUAAAAAGUCUGUCUAGCAUACUAAAAAAAAAAAAAAAAAAAAAAGAAAGAAAAAUUGCAGAGAAAAAAAAUUAUACAUAAUAAUGUAUGGCUAAGCAAAAGUUUUCAGAGUGGUACUUCAUAAAUGUACCAUAAAACUCGAAUUGCAAUGCAAUGGGACAAGGAAAGGUCUACACUCCUUAUAAUCCUUUUAGUGAUUAAAAAUGUAUCUCAAUCAACAUUGAUUGAUUGAGAACAUUGUAGGGUCACUAAACAAUGUCUGUAAAUUUCAAUACUCCCUGCCUAGAAAUCUUAGGACUUGCAAAGGGCAAAGAAGAUCUUCGUGGGGUACACAUCAGUUGGAACUGGAACGGUGUUGGCGAAGGAAAAGGAACAGUGCUGUUGACGCAGCGAUCAAGUAUGGAAAUAUGGUCCAGAUGCCCUAGAUAGAGUUCAAAUUUUGACAGUUUGCUAUUAGGAGCAAACAAAACAGGAGAGAGAGAGAGAGAGAGAGAGAGAGAGAGAGAGAGAGAGAGAGAGCAGUACCACAGCUGCUGCAACACUAGCAAGUGCCACCACUGGCCGUUCUCUUAGCAAGAAUCCGACAGCCAACUGACAUUUUAAGACAAAAUAAAACUCUCGUAUCACAAUAUUUAUGAAUUUCGGUGUUGAGUUAAAAACAGCAGUAAAGAUUAAAUCAUGUGUCUGUACUCAAAAAAUGAUGCAUGUUACAAAACGCAAAUAGGGAUGUAAAUGAGCCCAGGAGGGCCAAAACCAACAGGGCUGGGUCUAUGAUUCAAACAAGCUUUUCUCAAAAAUGGUUAAGUCGAGGAUGCCCUUUUUAUCUAACUUAUCCCUUUAUCCAACAAGGCAGUGCCAUCUCCUAGAGCACACCAACCCCUUAAGAAGAAUUCGCAUGAAGAAGGUUACGAAUUUGUGCCUAAAAAACUAGGCAUAAUGAAUGGGCAAGAAGUAUAACCAAUCCAUCUUUUCCAUCGAGAUGCAUGUAGUGCAAAAAUCAAGACGAGUUUUUCACCUGAAGAGGAAGAGUAAUUAGACCGCCACAGCAAACUCCGGCAAAAAAACAGUCCGCUGAUAUGCCCUGCAUGAAUUUUCAAUUCUGCUGUUAACAGAUUGAAGCAGGACUAAUAGCUAUCUAGUAGUAAAAAAGAAGGAUAAAAAGAUUAUUCCUCAAUAUUUAGCCCUGGUUUAAGAAGGUUUACAAGUACAUAAUAUUGUAUAUCUGGAAGUGAAACUGCUUAGUUCUGGCUUGUAAUCUCAUAUAUAAUGUAUCCGUAUAAAAGAGAAUGUUUAAAAUUUCUUAAACAGCAUAUAUUAACGGCAUGCAGACAAAAGAAUGAUGGUUUGAGUUUUUUAAAACAGAUAAGUACAACAAAAUACAGUUUUUUUAUCCUCAGCCCUAUUAUGUAAGCUUUCUGUGAUAAGUCUGCUCUUUUCUUUUCUUAAAGACAGUAUGUACUGGCAGUCUUUAGGUAUCUAAUGAUAUUCAACUGAAAGAGAAAAGGCCAACAACUAGUAUCGUUAUGCUAAUUGAUAUCAACAAUCCAGAUUCUUGGUUGUAGUGGAGAGACAGUGUAGUGAACUAUGUAAUACUCACAGUAUAUCCAAUAGAAAAGUCAUUUAAGUUUUUCUUAUUAGUUAUGAAGGAAUGACUUACCAAUGCACCGGCUAGAAAUGCUGUAGGAUUACGUACACCAAGUGAAAAGCGCUCAACUGCAGAACAGAAGUAUUACUAAUAAGAAGUCUGCUAAAAUCUACUAGCUACUAUCAAUUGUCUCGCAAUCUUAUGCUUCAGUUCUUUCACAAUCUAUUAACUACUAUGAAAUCCCAUGUCCUUUUGUCCACGUGGCGAUAUUAGCUUAAUUUGAAUCUUUGUGAGACCUACCAGUCAACCUAAUAUAUUUUGCUCAUAUAUUUUUCAUUUAAUUGGUUAAGAGACUUUUCAAAUUUUCUUUUGUGGGACCUAACUACCAUCUUAAAAUAUCUUGCUUAAUUAAUUAUGGGCUUUUGUGGGAAGCCAACUGUCAUUUUAACUUAUUUGCCCAUGGAUCCCACCCGUUAGUUUAUUUUCCUCAUUCUCUUCCUAUUUAAUUUCUUCAGAGACUCUUCAUUCCACCUUCGUCUCUAGCGUCGCUUCGACUCCCGAGUUGCCCUCUCUAGACGGAAAAUUAGGGCGAGUUUAUCAGCCGUCCUUCUUCCCUUCUCGCUGUUUUUGUUAGCGACGCUUCGUUCCAGCAUAUUGAUCCCUCUCCAGUCGCAAUAAUGGUUUGGAUUCAUCUCAUCGGAUAUAUCUAUUUGCCCAAUCUGAAGGGUCAUCUUACGUUAAAUGCGGUAUUUCCCGUUGCUUUUUUUUUUUUGUGCGGCAAAACAUCUCCACUCCUCUGCCAGUUUUCUUUCCUUCUCUGAUUUGGUUUCCACCUUUCAUUCCUGUUGUAAUUUCAAUUUUCCGAAUCUAAAGGAUCAUCUUACGUUUAAUGCGGUAUUUCCCAUUGCCUUUUUUUUUUUUGUGCGGCAAAACAUCUCCACUCCUCUGCCAGUUUUCUCUUCUUCUCUGAUUUAGUUUCCACCUUUCAUUCAUGUUGUAAUUUCAAUUUGUGUACUUAUUGUUUUUUUCUCAGAAAAUACUAAAUACUUUUAUUUUCUCUCAAGAAAUUAACUGCUUAUGGCUCCAACAAUUAAUCAUAUUAACAGGUUCCUUUUUACUUUGAAUUUGAUCUUUUAUUUGUUUACUCCAAUUUUCCUAUUGUAUAUUACAUUUUAAAUUAAUAUGAAUCUUUUUUAUUAGGAAUUUCUUGACUCUGUAUCUACAAUUGAUUAUCUCAAAUUUUGUAAGUUUCUUGGCCUACUUUUUAUGUAUAUAAUUAUUUUUUUGCAGGUUUUUUUACACUGUUACAACUGUAAAUUUCAUUGUAUCUAUGGUUGCCGCUACUGCUAUUUCUUCAUUUGCUUCUGCUUUUUUUUUUUCUUAUUCAAUUUUUUUCCUCUUAUGUAAUUACUAUUUCUUCUUUCUUUACCUUUUUUCACAAGACAUCAAAUAUUUCUUCAAGUUAUUUAUACACCAAAUUUUCUUUUCUUAAGAAAAGAAUUUUAACAUAAAAACGCAAGUUAAAUAUUGAAUAUUAUCUACCCGCAGCAUCGUGCGAGUCACUGCACUAGUCUAUAAAUUAAAUAAGUUGGAAUGCCAAGUAUGACAUGUUAGAUUUUACUCCAUUAUUAUGGCCUUUACGAUCACAUAAAUAAAUAAAAUAGAAUAAAUAAACUUAAUACUUGAAUUUGAAAGGGCGAAAUGACCAAAGUCAUUUACCAACUCAAUGAAUAAGGUGAUUUGAAAAGACAAAUUCAAUGUGUAAGUCAUCACCAUGAAUAAGGUAAUAUGAAAAGACACAUUAAAUGUGUAGAUUAUAACCAUGAGAUAAAGAAUCAAAGAAAUACAUAAAUGCCGGGUCUUCAAAAUCUGACGUGGCGACUCCUCCUUUUUAUUGGUUUUUGUUUUGUAUUUCUUUUUAUUUUUGGCUUCCCCCUUUUCCUUUUGCGCCCUUUCGUGGUUACAAGCUCUGCUGAUUGCCUUCUCUCUUGACUUCUUUGUUGCUUCGGUUUCUAUUUUCUUUUUUUUUUUCCUUUGGUUUUGGGCUUUCCUGUUUUCCUUUUGGGCCAUUUCGUAGCUACAGGCUCCAUCGGUUGCCCUCUCUCUACGAUCUCUCUACUUCACGUGAUAGAUGCCUCUCUCCCCAUGUUUUACAUUGCGGAUGCAAUCUCCGGUGCGAUUGUCUCCCGUUGCUAGUGGCGAUGUGAUGGCCCGUGGAUGCCUCUCUCCCCAUGUUUUACAUUGCGGAUGCAAUCUCCGGUGCGAUUGUCUCCAGUUGCUAGUGGCGAUGUGAUGGCCCGUGAUCGAGCGUUGGGUUACCAAUGAUCAAGUGGCCUAAUGCUAAAUUUCCUCUCCUCCUCGCCUAGACACUCCCCCCCUCCCCCCCCCCAACCCAGGUACCGGCAAAUUUAGCGAGGAUUCUCAAUUAAUGGCUGAGACGAGAUCUGGUAUCUUCGUGGCCGUCGGUUGUGCCAGUAACCUCCACUAGACGGCCCCUCCCUCCCCACAAAAAUCGGGAGUGUAGGGCCAUCGGGGGGCGAAUCUAAUGAGGAUCUCCCCUGGUAUCUCUGUGGCCGUCGGUUGCGCUAGUUAUCUGCGAUGAUGGCCUUGCCGACCAUCAUCAACACCUAUACUAACCUACAUCUGUGUUUGCACGAGGACUAUGCUGAGCAAAUUCUGUAAAUACCCCUAUCUAUUUCUAAGAUCCCCUUUAUAGUUUCCUUCCUUGUCAUAUAUUUAAGGCUCAGUGUCACCAUAAAUAUGGUGAGAUGAAAAACUAUUUGCACAUUCAAUGCGUAAGUUAUCAAAUGGAAGACCUGAAGUCUAAAUGAAUGUGACAUUCUUCGUGGUUAGAUUCAUGUAACUUAGAGAUAAUAAAAGGUUGUCAUGGUCAGAUAUAGUAACU
Molecule: long non-coding RNA, 52285 nt
Filed under: Ananas comosus (pineapple)
Lineage: Eukaryota; Viridiplantae; Streptophyta; Magnoliopsida; Poales; Bromeliaceae
Description: long non-coding RNA (ACOM_LNC028362)
Source: RNAcentral